Xyrichtys novacula (pearly razorfish) is the source of this 86759-nucleotide non-coding RNA. The record is from the annotation of a GenBank genome assembly. NCBI's taxonomy places the organism in Eukaryota, Metazoa, Chordata, Actinopteri, Labriformes, Labridae.
AAGUCGUUUCGUUUCAAAUGAAAGUUUGUUUGGAUGAAGAUGAAGCAUUUUAAGGUGAAAAAUCGAUGUCUACCCUCACACGAAGAAACAAUUUUAUAACUCAUAAAAGACAAAGAGAGGUGACUCUGGUAAGAUCUCCUGACAUAACGUAUUACGAAACUUUCAUGUCCUUUUUUUGGCUAAAUUUAAAUGGUGGCACACAUGUAUGAGCAACGUUUGGACGACAAAAUAUCGAAAGAUAUCCAUAAAAUGUUUUGAUAAAUGAUCAGUUAAUUAAUAAUUCUGAUUAAUUGAGAUUAAUAAAUCUUAGUUCAUGAUGCCAGAGUGCAGAAAUUUGGAUUUAGUAAAUGUAACAGUGGGCUCUGGCCUGUGUCUCCACUUCACUGAGUGUUUUUCCCUUAAGUAGGCCUCCUCUCUCCUUCCAUUAAAAUAGUCUGGCAAUCCUUGAUAUUGUGUUUGGGUCACAAAAGGUGAAAUCCUUAAAACAAUGUAGCCUGUAUAUUAAACAAGAAAGGACGAAAUGAUAUGGGCCACCAAGUACUUUAGAGCAGGGGUUCUGACCAUAGACUGUAUAUAAGAUGUGUGUAUAUAUAUAUAUAUAUAUAUAUAUAUAUAUAUAUAUAUAUAUAUAUAUAUAUACUGUCUAUGGUUCUGACCCACAUUUUCCCAUGGUCCUUAAGCCGUGACCCACUUUUAUAGAAUUUAAACAAGCAUAUUUUUUAUGAAAAAAAAAAAAAACUUUAAUGACUCUACUUUUUAACAUGAAUCCACUUGUUUUAUUGAGUAAAGUGCAUUUCAGAGCACAUGACAGGGACAAUGUGAGGACGACAAAUACUGAAGUUGCAUGUACAGAAAAUAUCAAAUAUCUAAUAAAUAUUGAAUGAAAUAUUUACUUUUUGACCAGCUGUUGGUGACCCAUCCAAAACGUGUCCGUGACCCCCUUUCUGGUCAGGACUCACCAGUUGAAACUCACUGCUUUAGAGGAUGUUAUAUACCAUAGCCAUGCUUACAUCUAUGUUCAUUGGAAAGGCGAUUUUGUCAGGAUAAUUUCAAUGCUUACAAAUAGUUAAGCCCCAUCUGAUCAUGAGAGCACUCUCACAAUAGCAGCCAAACCCCCAUACCUUGAGUAUUAAAGAUUUAACAUUUAAUUUUUAGUAGGGAAAAUGUACUUUUUGUUAAAGGAAUCAAAGUAACUCAGGAUGGAGUGGUGAGGCUUUUUAGCAGACUACUGGUAAGACAGCAAGUAUGAAUCAACAAAGCUUGCUUAAAGAUGGCUUUAUGUUUGCCAUAGAGAGACACAAAGUAUUAAAGGAGAAUACUUAAUUUGCUGAUAAUAACCAAGUUUAUAUGUUAUGCAAAUAAAAAAAAACACUUGUACAAUCAUAAGAUGUCUAGCAAGUUGUUACAUGUUUCAGCUCUUUAUGAACACUGAAUGAAAGAACCUUACAACAACCUUGUUAGUCUUUGAAAUAGAGACAAUCCUAUUUCAUUUCUCAGGAUAAACAACGGUCGAAUUUUCAGUACAGAGAGAGGUAGGUGGGUUAAAACAGAGAUUUAUUCAGGGUGUGUUUUGAAAAUGAUCAGGAGUAGAGGAAAAGACAAGAAGUCUGUCUCAUGCUCCCAGUAAAGCAGAUCAUGCCAAAACAAAACUGGAACACACAAAAAUCACUUGUAUUCAUUAUUCUUGAAAAUAAUACAAUACAGGAUAAGACUAACUGCAGAGUUGGUCCUUGUUUUCUCACCAGAAUACAAUGUAAACAUUAAAAAUUACAAUUUGAAACAGAGAGUUUAAUACCUAAAGAAAUGAUAACGUGUAUUUUUCAAAACUUUGUUAGGUCCAAUGGUUGGAUGUAUUGUUUGUUACUCUUUUAAUUAUGUGGCCCAGUACUGCAAACCGAACAAAUUAAUGAGAUUUAAGAUGAAUUAGACAUUAAACCAAUGAGCAAGAAAUUAAUAGAAAAAAAAAUUACAUUAAAAAAAUUGUAUACAAAAAUAAAUAGAUGAAUAAAUAAGCUGUAAAAAAUGACAAACAUAACAAAAUACUUUUACCACAAAUGAAGCUUCUGUUAAAUGAAGAACAGCAGGGUGGUGAAUGAAACUCUUCUUUCUUCUGAGCCAAGAAGAUCAUUUUGGAAAAAGAUUUUUAAUAUAUUCAGAUUGUCCUUGUUGUGGUUUAACACUGGCAACAAUGAUGUCCUUCAACUUUUCCUGCAGCCAGUCCUGUCUGUCUCCCACUUGUUUGUGUUCCCGGACAUUGUGCAUGAGCUGAACCUCGCUGAUGGUUCUUUUUCUGUCAAAUUAUUAAAAAAAUCCCUUUUAACUUUAAGAACAUAUUUAUCAUCCAUUUGUCUUUUAAUUCAGUUAUUAUCUUUAAAUUUAUUUUCAGACCAGCCAUGACAUUGAACAAUGUCAAGACACAUAAUAAUAACAGAAUUUACCUGAUCGGUUUAGCUUCGGUGUAUAAAUUGACGAGGAAAAGUAGCAGAAUGAGAACCAACAUUUCCACGUGCCUCAAGGAAAACAUGUUCAAUAACUAGAAAAAAAUGGUAAAAAAGAUCAUGGUCACAACAUAAAUUUCACUGUUUUCCAAUCUAUUAAACUCUUUUAAUUAUAUGUAAUUGUAUAAUGAUUAAUUUAAACGUUGACAGACUAUUAUACCUUGCUUACCUGUUUUUUUCUGUCCUUAAAUCCAAAGGAAAAUGUAGGGAAGAAUUAGUCAAAGACGUACUGUGUCAGUGUGGUAAAGAAGUCCAACUUGUUGAUCAGCCUUUGGUGAGAGGAACGUCCUCUCCUUUAUAUACAGCGUGCCCUCCCCUGGUCAUCAAUACAGCGUUUUCCCUGUUUGAUGCUGAUGUCACUUUUCUAAUGCAUCGAUGGGUCCAGGCAUCUGUUUGACACCACCUCCACCACCACUCACUGCUAACUCUUCUUUCAACACCUCUGCAACGCGUCCCGCUUGUCAAACAGUUUGUGAGCUUGUAACACUUAGUGCUGAAUAAUAAGACGUUUAUAAAGAUGCAUAAUCUGUGCAUCAAAUGUGAAAGAAAAGCCUUUAUUAGUUCAACAUCUCUAAUUAGACAUGUCUCAUGCAAUUGGACUGCAGUGAAAACAUAUACUCUCCAAAAGGCAAUGACUGUCAAGUUUAAUUUAUUAGCAAUGCAAUUUAUUUUAUGGUUCACCUCAUGCAAGCAUCUAAAGGUCGUGAAGAGGUGCAGCUUGGCCAGCUUGAGGGGAAUGAAGCAAAGCGACAAGCCCAGAGCUGGCUGAUAGGCAUUCUUCAGUAGAAGAGACAUGAGAAAGAUAGACACUAAUAUCAAGAGCAAGGUGUUCAUAUUCCAACCAGCAUUUUGAGCAUGCAGAGCUCCCUGACUCUUAAACAAAUAAAGUUAAGUGUCAAAACCUCACAGAAGAAUGUGUCGGUGCCUGUAUCUUUGAUCAGCUGUAGAUCUAUUGGAGGCCUCUGGAUGUAACUGAAUGUAGAAAUGAAAAAUAAACACACAUCUUUCAUAAUAUUUAAAAGUUUGUUUUGAACCGUUAGCCUCUGUAAGAAAUCAGCUGUAUGAUGCAAACCCUUUGAAUUUAUAAGCCCAUCGUACGAGUGGCCAAACCUUAUCCUAUUCACAGAAAAAUAUGCAUUGCAAACAAAUAGUAAACUUUUAAGUGUGCAGAACUGAAGUUUUGUGAUGUAUGGGCUGUGUAUAACCUUGUCAUGGUGUCACAAGGUGCAUUAGGUAACCCUGAGAGACAUUUCUAAAUGUGGCAAAGGCACGGCUAUGCUGUGACUGAAGGAAUAGGUGCCACAGAAAGAGCCAUAUCUUACAGUCGUUAAGGUUUCCGGCACAAUACUCUCUGUUUAUACAGUGUUCUGGACGUUAUACAUCCUCAUUUAAUAUGGGUAAGGUGGGGGAGGUGUUUAUCUUUACAACCCAAAAAGUAUUAUUUUUUUAUGAUAAGUUCCCCUGAUUUGAUAUAUGUCUCAUAUCUGUCUUAUUACUUCUUUAGAUGGCUGUAAAAAUAAGGGAAGCACAAGUAUGAUUAGUUAUUAUAUAAAUUAAAUCAGAUCACCCUGGUAUGAUCUUCCGCAGUCAUCCAUAUAAGGGUCUGAGAUUGAUGCAGUGAUGCAAUAGAUGAGUACACCUGACUAAGGCAGGUCUUCCUCCAGAAGAAAGAAAAAGAAAAAGGCUCGAGUACAUGUGGGGCUGUAUGCUGCUGACCUGUGUCUUUACCAGCUCCAUCAAUCAUGCACGUAAACUGCUCUCAGCACCACCUGUGGUUUCAUCUGGGCUAGAUUUUUGGUACAUGUGUAGUGUACUCAACUGAGUCGCUCUCAUUACCUCAUCCGCUUACAAUGUGAGCCAUCUCAGCUAUGGUAUGUAGCUGGUGUGCAAGACAACUUGACAGGGAUUGAUGGGAAGAAUUGCACGCACAUCAUUAACUCGGGUCACCCCCAUGUCACAAAGAAAGUAACGCACAUAAAAGUGACUCAUCCCUUUGAACUAUAUUUAAGUGUUUGGGCUGUAAAUAGGCUACCUCGGGACAUAUUGGGUCUUGCGGUGCUUUUUUAAUUUUCUAACGGCUAUAUUCACCACACUUUCUUUUUUAAGUAAUGCCCUGUCUGUUGUGUUGUGCCCCGUUAAAGUUAGUUAAAGUGAUUCAGAAAGUUAAUCAAAGUUAGUUGAAUUCAUUUUACUACAGCAGAUGAAAUAUGCUGUCGGACGAGGGGCAUUUAUUCCUGAAUCCAGAAAGCCACAGAUUCACGCAUCUGGCUUCGGUAUUUUAUGUUUAAACGGUUGGAUGCCAGGGCCAUGCUUUCCCAGAAAUCUAUAAAUGGAGUUACUUUUUUGUAAUGAAAUGAGGUCACCUCACUCAAAGAUAUCAUGUAACGAAACGGAAUAUAUUUAGACUGGCGACAUCAUCCCUCCUUUGCCAGAGAAACCAAACAAACACAGAAUACAUAUCUAAAUCAUGCAGUUUGAAUAACAACUUAUUGCCUAUGAAGGAGACAGAAUCCAGAACAGCAAUAAAUCAUUCAGAUGUUUUCACAUCCAAGUUGUCUUGGAACUAGUCAACACUUUGUUUGCCAAACCAAAUGUUUUUAUUCCUCAGUGUUACUGGCUGCAGGGAUGUGCCUGGUUGGUGUCACUUAUCUGGAUGCCCACAGUAACAUCAAUCUAUCACUUCACAUAUUGCAAUGUCCCUCUGACUAACCAGCACAGGUGCUGGUGUCAGGUUAAUGGUUAGCAUCUCUUUACUGUUGCACUAUGGCCAAUGGCUCAAGAGACUACAAAGAACAAGUUUAAGGCAGACAGUGCUAGCUUGUCAGCGUAUUUCAUUCUAAAAAUCAACCUUACUUAUGUGACUCUAACAGAAAACUUAAUCCUCAUCUAUCUGUUGCAUGUAAUGGUCUCAGGUUUACCUCAUGCACCUUUUAAUUAAGCUUGAGUAUGAUAUUUUCCCUGAAAUGACAUCGCUGUCCAGUGUCAGUCAAAGAUCGGGUCUGAAAAAUAAUCUUUUAGGGGUGUGGAGUUAGAGUUUACCUGAUUUUGUUGCCCACUCCUACAUCCAGCAUUACGGUCUUUGACAUAGCUAUAUUGUGGGGGUAUAGAGCAGCCAUGUUUUUAAAAAAUGCAGAGAAGGUUAAAAUGAUAUCUUGGAUCGUGCUCCUUUUUAAAAUAUUCACAUCAUUAGCAUUGCCAUGUUUUAAGAAUACCACUCAGGGACGUUUAUCUUUUUAGUUGUAAUAUCAAAAUAAGAUUUAGGUUUUUACUAGAAUUAUAGAUUCAAUUUAGAUAUGGUUUCAUGUCCUUCGAAGUAAAAGUCACAGAUUUUAAUGAGGGAGCUGUGGACUGAUUUUUUGAUAAAAGGGAUUAAAACAAAAAUCUUCAUGUAAAAAUAUUGACACUGAAGUUGAAUAUAUUUUGAGAGGAAACCGUAGAUUGCUAGACUAUCAGAGUAACUAUGUUGGCCCUCCACAUUGUACUGGUUGUUGGGAUGUUAAACAGUCAUGAUCACCAGACUCCACAGACACAUUAUCACGGUGUUUCCUUUAUAAAGUUCUCUGGUAUCUUUCAUUUUACAUCCAGAUGUCACACUUCUAGAUUUGCUCCACCAGAGGUCGCUGUGAUUCAAGGCUUCAGUUGAGCUGCUCACUUAUUGAUAGAACAACUUUGCUAUGAAGAGUUCUCAAUCAGUAGUUUGCACUCUGCACUUUGACAGGGGAUUAAAAAGAGAUGAAGCAGAGCAGUGAAAAAAACACAGUAAGGGCUGAUGGAUAAAGAAAGUACGAGACUGUGGUCUGAUAGAGCUACCACCAUGAAACUAGAGGCUAAAACACAGCUUGACAGUCCAGACGCAAGGACUCAGCCAAGUAUCUACUCUAUAUCAAUCUUAUGGCAACUAAGUUGUACUAGUUUGUGAGAAAUACAGGAUAUUUAGGAGAGAUAAAAAAGAGGUACUUCAGUGUAAUCAGCUUUAAUUAUUGUAUUUGACAGAUUUGACAGCAGUGUGCCUUUUAUUCAGACGUUAGAAUGAGACAGCACUUUGAACAACUCCAAACGAAAUUAGUUUUCUUUGUAUAGAGACAGACAAGACAGUUUAAUGUGUUUCAUUUGGGUCUGAAAUUCUUUAUGAAAAUAUAUAAAGCAUUUAAUGUUGUGCCAAAUAAAAGGGAGAGAAAAAGAGAAAAAUAAAUGAGUGUUAAAGGAAUCUGAAGUUUUAUGAGACUUUCUUUCAGAUGUGGUGCAUACUAAAUAAGAACUGCCUCUCCAUGUUUAAUUUGGACUCUAGGGACAAGGAACAAAGCUGUACCAGACCAUCUGAGAGGUCUGGCAGCAGAUCAGGAAUGGCAAAUUAUGAAUUACAUUAUUUGUUUCAUGUUAAAUCACACUGUAACACUGUUUUUAAAAUUGUAUAUUAGUUUUGAAUAUGCAGUCAACCUACUUUAUCUUUAAUCGCACAACAAUCAUUGAUUUGUUUAUCAAUUAUUCAGAGCUCGUCGGACCAUCAUUAAAAAUAUAUAAACCAAAAAUGAUGAUUAUAGUAACAAUAAUUUGGUCAUACAAAUCUAUGUGUCAUGUAUAGUGUGGUAUGAACAUGGCAUUUUGCUUUUUAUUAUACACUGAGAGAAUAAAAAUGUUAAAAGACAGAGGUUCAAAGAUUGAGCCUUGGGGAGCUCACCCUUCCAUUUUGAAGUAAUUAUAUAAAAUGUUGCAAGUAGCCUGAGAUUAGAGGUCCAGUUUGGACUGCUUGUCAGUUCUCCUCUUGCAUUGUUAUUACUUAAUAGAGUGACAUUGGGUAUACUCACUUGUCCAACUACUCCGAGAGGACUUCAGCUUCUCACUAAAUCAGACAAAACCCCGAUAAGGAAAAAAAGUUAUAAAAAAAAUAAAAUAAAACAUUACUCAUUUGAGUUCAGGUUUUUGCCACCUGUUUAUUUUUUCUUGACAGAGAAAAGCAAAGACAUCAGUCACAUUUCUAAUUAAUUAUGAUUGGUCCUUAACUUUCUAUAAGUCAUUAACUGAGACACAUGACAAGGUGGUGAUUUGCUGAAAAAAUCUCUCCUGCUUUUGAAGUGAAAUACAUUUUUUCUGACUGGAUCUAAAUGAUAGAGAAUUAUAGAAAAUUAUAAGUGCCUUCAACCAGGAGGGCUUAGAAAGACUAACAUCACUCAAACAACAGAUGAAAUGAUGCAGCGAACAGACAAUGUUAUACAAUGUGUUUUAUAAACUACCAACAGUCUUUUGUUCACGGCAAAAGAUAUGAAAUAAGGCUGUUAUAGGACCGCAGAACAUCAGGUUCAGUUGAGUGACUCAUACAGGUAAAACAGCAGCAUUGUCAGAGCAGAAACCGAGUGAAGAAAACACCAAAGUAUAACACCAGCAUCCAUAUUUAGAUCAAGUGAAAAACACCUCCUGCUGGGCUUCAGCAGAUCUACGUACUGGGCUAACACUCAGGUGCCAUGUGUGAUGUUGGGAAUGAGAUACGAAGGCUGUGAGAAGCUUUUCGAACAAAUCAGAGAACAUUUUUGUAAAGUAGAAAAGACUUGGUCAAACAAAACUUCUUUCUCUGUCGAGAUGUUUCUGAUGCGGUUCUUAGUGCCACUAUAUUCACAUCUUUGAUACAGUCCCUUUUUUAUUCAUGCUACAUCUAUAGCUUGAUCUAUAUAGUACCUUGUGCCAGUCUGUUCUGCUGCGAGAGAUAUCUGUGGAUUCCCAGGAGAUCCUCUGCACUGUGGUUUUCUUUAUUAUACACUGAAACUCCAUAGUGGAAGGAAAAUUUACUAAAGCUUGUUUUCAUUCUUUGUGAACAAACGUUUUCAUCAGACAAAUAUAAGCAAAGAUGACAAAAAUGGAGUAAAAUGUUUGACAUGCCAGCCAGAACCAUGAAUUUUCAUGAACAAAAUGUGUUGAUAAAGCUCGAGUUCGAAGGAUCUGACGGAUCACUGCUUCUCUAUCCUUCGUUCUCAGGUAUACAGGAGAGAGUGGAAACUUUCCAAACAGAACCCGGUGUAUUUCCAGACACGAGGAGCUCAUUCUAAGGUAAGAAACACAACAUUUUCUUUUCUCAGCUUGUGCUGCAAAUAUGACUGUGAGAACUGUUUUUUCUUUCUGCUAGUAAAUCUCCCAAAUCCCACUCUUUGUCGGUCAGGAACAACAAAGAGACUUUGAAAACUUGUAAUAUCAUCAAAGUCCAGCUUUGUCUUGCAAGAACAGAAACACACCACAUCUUAUUGAAUCAUACUAAGUUGCUUUAAAAAAUAAAUUUAAUACAUGAUGAAACUCUAAUCACCUCUGACAACCAAACAAUUGUUAACAGCUUGCUAUUCUACAAAGCAAGUAGUUCACUGUUGACGUAGACAAAGUAUUCACUCAACUCAAAGUUGGUUUGACAGCUGCCACUUUUUCAUAUUUUGUGUUUGGAUCUGUGCCACCUGACUUCUACCUGUAUUAUGAUAAUGUACACUGACAUAAACCGAACCGCUGUCGUGCAACCUAAACACUAGAGUCAGAUUAGAAACCUGCUUACCUCCACUCUGGGAGAAGCAGCCUGUAAACCUCACUCAACGGUCUGAUGGAGAAUCUGAGUGAGGGGGAGGCAGCUGACUACACAGUGAGUCAAUGCUUCAUAUGCAGGAAUCAAACACACACUGAGUCAACGAUGCUGGUGUUCUGGGAGAUUCCCUUUUUGGGUUUGUCAUAUCCUAUAAAACUCCUGUUUUACAUGGCAGGUCCAAAGAUACUGAGCUGAUUGUAGUCUGAAAUAGUUAACAGUGGGUGGCAUGAUGAAGAAGAAGACUUCAUGUUGUAACACGCUAUUGCAAAUUACCAGCUGUUCACCAAAUUUCUUCCAGCAUUUGCUCACACACAAAUCAAGAAAGAAUAGAUAAUUUGUAUUGAUUUGGAGUAAUCUUCCUUCACUCUGAGAAUGAGAAUCCAUCAAUAACUCUUAUUUUAUAUCUGUUAGCAUUUGUUAAGUCCAGACGGGGAUAUCCAGCAGCUAAUCCACUGAAAGCUUUCAAUAUGUUCCCUACAAAGUCUCUUUCUGAAGCAGGUAGUGUACCUUUGGGUCUUUUUCGAGUGUUUUCACUUGAAACAGCUCCUGUCUACAGCCAAAAACUACUCAGUGAGAGCCAUGAAAGUAAACUGAAGAAUUGAGGACUGGGGAACAAACAACCAAGCUGAACCUCACCUAAAACCUUUAUGUGGCUAUAAACAUUAAUACAAAAGAUGCUCUCAUCCAUUUUUUCAAGUUCUUAUACUGUUUCCUGGGCUUGAUACUGACUGAUGUGGAUUUUUUGGGAUUGAAUUAACAACCUCCAUUAAAUUACCAGCCUGUGUGGAUGGAUGGAUGCAACUGUGAAUUAUGUUUUGGCAACUUCAGAUUCAGUCAGCUCUAAACAAAUUAAGUCAAUGGAUGUGUUUAUUGAAACUGACUGAAUCACUAUUUAUUUAAGUUAUAAAUGAGCAUCUGCUUCAAAAUGCUUAGUAAUUACAAUUUGAUUAUGAAUGCAGCUGGAAACGAGGGAGUGAAAUUUGUCUAUGAAGGAGCCACAUCAAACGAGAGAAGAAAAUGUCAACAUCAAAUCAUCAGUCUCAUCGUGCGUGAAACUCGUGUCCAAACAGUGAACUGUCGGUGAGUCCGCCAAGCAACAACAGGCAAACAUCAGAAUUUCAGAUUAUCUGCGUGGUGAUGCUCAUUCUCUGUAACAUCCUUUCAAUCCAGUCAUAGAUGUUUGCAUACAGAGUUCAGACACAGACAGUUUUUUGCUUUUGCCAGAAUGACAGGUCACGCACAUGUGUGUCAGCACCAGCAGCACACACAACAGUCAUCCGGUGCAUGAUCAACCAAGCGUGUUGAAUCCACUAUAAGAAAACCUAAAACUCAGGACAGUUAAUUGGUGGUUUAAGUUGUGUUGUUAGUUUGUCCUGUAGAUUAUUAUUUUACUAACUCGCUCAAACAUUGUGAUGUCCUUUAUCUGUAAAAGCAAAAUACUGCUGUGCACUUUAUUUUGGUAAGAGGCUCAAACCAGGUCUGCAGUGUGAUCAGUGAUCGGCCAGAAAAUUGUGAUCGGUGCACCCCUAGUUGCAGGUAUUUCUUUUCCAGAACAGUUAACAAGUCUUUGCAGUACAGCUGACAGUGUUAACUGCAAUGAGCUUUGCAUAUAUGGCAUAAUGCCGCCAUAGUUGUAAGUGCAACCAGCAUGAAACAACUCCAAACUGCCUCUGUAGUUUGAUCCCUUUAUGCUACAUUAGGUUCCCGUAUGGCAAAACGAACAGACCAGUAGAAUAGUAGUUGAAUAUGUCUACCUCAUGAAUCGGUCCUAUGGAUCUCCCCUUUUUUCACCAAUACCUGAACUGUUUUUUAUUUUCAUUUUGAGGCAGUAUCUGACCAAUACCUGAUACCAAAAUCACAUUGGUGCAGCCCUGGUAAAGAAUAAGUUAUUUGUUGCUCAGGUUUCUGAACCGCUGUAGUCCUAGUCAAGGGAGCCCAUUUCUUUUGUCAGGAAACAGGUCACAAACAGCCUUCAUCAAAGUACAGUUUUUUGUCCAUCUCUCUGUCCAACUCAACCACUGCUCUCUGUAGACUGCACAGCUAAAACACAUCUAAAGUAAACACCACGGCUGUGUCCGAAAUGGCCUACUACUCCUACUACUCCUACUAAACCCGCCUCUGAAUUGAGUAGGCAGUGCGUUCACACUGUACAGUAUGCGAAUUUUGUGUAUGCGAGAAAUGCCCGGAUGUAUACUCAAUCGGCUUCGAUUUCUGAGUGUGCAACGGAGCUUGCUUCACGUACUGCUUCUGCCCCACAAUGCAUUGCGCACCCCAGCUGGUAAUAUGGCCCUCCUUCCCGAGGCUGAAAAGAAUUAGAUGGCAUGUGAUUGCAAUAAUAUAUAUAUAUAGAUAAACAAUAUUUAGUCAGUAUACAUUACACAAUUUUUAUCAUUUUAUCAUAUUUUGAUCUUUUUACCAGAUUUAUUUGUAUUUUAAAUUAGGAUUAUAGGUAAUGUUUUUAACUAUUCGUAUAAAUUGACUUUAUUUAUUUAAGUGUCUAUUAAAGAUGUAUUUAUUACAUCAAGUUUGAGCAUCUUCUCAUCUCUGAAUGCAUCAUCAAAGUGGUCGCUCAUAUUAAGCACACACCUCUGAUUAAUAAAAAUUAUUAUUGGUAGAGAGCACAUGGUUCAGAAAAUACAAACGGGGAGUUUCCAGUUGACAAUCUAUGUGAGCUUUUCUAAUUCUUACUUGUGGUUGAAAAUCUGAUGGUUUCUGAAAUGAUCAUUGUACAUGAAAAGAAUGUAGUCGGGAAAUGAUGUAUUUGCCAAGGAAUAACCGAACGAGGUCAUAAUAAUUAUGUUGUGUGUUGGUCAUUUUGCAGCCCUCUGCUGCUCAUCACACGCCUAGCAGGUGGUGUAUAGCAUUAUCACCAUGGAUACACAGAUGUUUGUGUGAUUUUUUUCAUCCACUGUCGCCCGGUUUGUGUCGUGUAGAUGUUGAUUAUGAAAACACUUCGCAAUAAUUUGGAAACGUGAAGGGGGAGCUGCUGCUGCCCGGUGUUUACGGUAAAUAGACGCAAACACCGACCAAGCGGACGCGUCGGUCUCCGAAAACGCCGAGACAAAUUUACAAACAGCCACUAUUUCAAACAACUGGGCUCAUAAUCGUGAUGUAAACACUUACUUUCUCGCUAGAAAAAGUAUUAUUAUUGAAUGAAUUUAUAUAAUUUGUCCGGAAUGCAGUCGUUCUGUGUUGCUUGUGGUAGGACUAUUUAAAUUUUCCCGGCGCUGCGUCCGGCCGGCACGAAAUGCAUUCUGGGGUAUUUAGUAUGUAUGUGUGUAAACGCUCGGGCAGCUGCGGCAUACUCAAAUCAUCUUUGAGUAGUCAGUAGGCAGUAGCUACUGCUUGAGUAGGUAAGUAGAUAGUAGGCAGUAUGCCAUUUCGGACACAGCCCACCUCUCCCUUUGCUCCUGGAAGACAAGAGAAAUAAUAGCAACAGCCACUAGAGGGCCUCGCAACAAACAUAAGCUUACUGUAAAGAGAAUUGAAAUGCUUAGUCCUCUUGUCUACUUGGGAGGACAGCGUGACAAAAUGCUUUGGCAGUUAGCGAGUCAGCUUUGCGUACAUAAAGUCUUGAAUAAACCAACAACAACCUGAAUCUGUCCAAAAGUAACACCACUUUUAGUUGAUGCAUAAAGCAAAGUGAAAAAGUCACACUGGGGGUUUUGUGGACUGUUUUUAGUUUCAAACCUUUUCUUUUCAGUCGAGUCCAGGUAAAUGUGUGUCACCCCUCGAACAAAUAUUUUCUUUUCUCGACUAACACCUUCAGGAAAAUAGUGCAGUCUUUGAAAAAGCAAGAGGGGAACUACCUUGGAAGACAGCCAAUCCACAGCUGCAGACGGGGUCACUUUUACCACAUACUGCAGCUCAGUGAAGCGCUAAAAGUUUUCUUUAGCUUACACUGGCAUCAAUGUUAGGGUCAAACUCUCUUAAAACUUGUUAAAUAGACCCCUUUACCGAAGUAAACAAUAAGGGGUGUGUGAGCAUUUACACCGAGGAAAUAUAGUGGAGUAGUUUUCCAAGGCAAGUGAACGGAAUAACCAGCAAAAAACAUGAUUUUUACCUGAACUAACUGACUUUUACAAAUGGAUGACUUCCAGGUCUGUAUGAUAUCAGUGAAUGGACAAAUAAUUAGUAUUCAGACAUAUUUUAUGAGAAACACACUAAAGAGAAAUUGAGCAUACAGAUAUUCAGUGCUUAGGACUGAUACCAGAUGGUGCUGCAACAGGACGCCUCGAUACUUCACUCUCACAUACUUUUUGUGUAUUUUGAUACUGCGAAACAAAAUGUAUAUUUACCUUAUGUACAGUACCGGUACCCACCUGUAAUAUAAUGGCAUGUAUAUUUUUUCACAACCACUCUUUAUUCCACUGCUCUCUUCAUCGUUGCAAUAAGAUAAGAUAAGAUAUUCCUUUAAUAGUCCCACAGGGGGAAAAUCCAAAUUACAGCAGCAUAAAUACAAAUACAAAACAAGAAAUUAAAGGAUAAAGAAAUUUAGAGUUAAAAAAAGAUAUGUACAUGAGUCUUUAUCUACUAUAUACACUAUUGCACUACUGUCUUGUGUAUAUGUAAAAUGUCCAGUUCGAGCUCGUACACACUUGUAGUUUUUGUUAAAUUUCAUGUUUCAUGUUUGUACAUAGAGGGCAAAGUUUAUCAGAGUCAGAUUCCUUGUACGUGUACACGUACUUGGCCGAUAAAACUCAUUCUGAUCCUGAUUCUGAUAAUGACUACAUUAUCUGUGGACAUGUACAGAUAGAGACUUGUGUUUUAAAGACACUGUUGUGUUUUGGUGUGUAAAUAGUGACUUUGUUACCAGGUGACUUUCAGCCAAGUGCUUCGCUCACAAAUGCCUUUAGUUUUACAUAAAAAAAUACCUGUUGAGUAGGGCUGGGUGAUAUGCCCUUAAAUCAAUAUCACGGUAUAUUGAGCAGUUCACCUCGAUAAAGAUAAAUGGACGAUAACUACUCUACAAGCUGCUCACCCCCUCCCACAUUAACUUUGUCUAACCGUCCUCCAUCUUCUCACCUGUCUUUCCCUCUUUGUUAUUGACUGGAUGGGGUGGAGUCACAUCUCUGACGUAAGACCAUCUUAAAGGGACAUGAGACCAAAGCCUACCUACACACAUCCAAAACCAACUUUUAUUUAUUUAUGUUUCUGACACCGGAUGUACCGAUAUGGGCAAAAUGACGUCUGUUAUUGUCGUAAAUUUCUGUUUUUCGCCCAGCCCUACUGUUGAGCAUGAUUUAUCUCAAUGAUAAAAGACAAACCAGGAUACAUGAGCCAAGACUCUUCGUGUGCAUCAACAUAAGUAAUAACCACAACAACCACUGAUUCAGAUGGAAGUCACCAGACAACAGGGUCACUGUGGAAACCAAAACACCAGUCGUUCUGAAACAGUCUUGUUCCUGUCAGAGUUGUAAUGAACUUGAAUCUGGGGUGUAAUAUUGAGUCUGACAACCAACUGUGCAGCAACCAGAGUCACUGAUGCUGGUUACAUAUAAUUGAGAGGUUAAAGCUUGCUUACUUGUCUGAAAAACGGGAGCAAAACUCUGCUUACAUUGAUGCACUUGCAUUUUAUCGACAACGUCGGCCAUAAGAGGGUCUGUUACAUAAUUAAGUUGACUCUAUAGUGGUAGUUAACCUAUUAUCUGUGCCGAUUCUUCAGCUGGUUUAUUAACAAAAGGACAGAGCUGACUGGAGUGCCCUGCAGCCAAAACAGUAACAAACAGGUACUGCAUUCAACCUCACUUUAAAAAAAACAGGCUAUUCCUUAAAAAUACAAUAAAGUCUGUUUCAACACUGCAGUAUCAGGGUCUAAUUAUUUAACACACAACAACAACCGAAUCAGAAAAGAAACUCGGUUGAUGAAUUAACAAACCCCCAGGACUGUAACUGUUGUUUGUUCUGCAAUAGCUAUUGAUUUCCUCCCAAAUAUUUGAGCAAAGAUUGGAGCAUGGUCCGAGCCUGAAAUGAUAUUCAUUUGAAAUGACUGUUUCGUGCAAUAACUACUAAUGACCGGUGUGUUUAAGAUCAGAAAACAAUUCAAAGUGUAAUUGAUUUUCCCUUUCUCUCAUGCUGUGUAUAAACCAUGAUUCACCCCUCUGUGCAUGAGAAACAAAGCUGAGCCUCAAAGACUGAAACACCUCUGCUCCCUCUCGAAUCAGUGAUAAAGCAGAGAUCAUUCCAGUGCAUAUGUUCAAAUUCAGAUCAUUUCAAUACUCACAAUGUUGAAGUAUUUGAUGUUUUGUUUAAAUUUAGUGUAACUGCUCUGUAAUGUUUGCUCUGUGUUUUCCUCUGAGUACUCUCCUAAACUGAACAAAGCCGAGCGCAGAGGCAGCAGGAUGUGAUUCAUCAUUCGAAGCCUUGAGCUUUGGAUCAUUUGAACAUUAAUGAAUUUUAAAGUGCACACUUUUGAUACUCUCAGUGCGUUACAGCUUUAAUAAACAAAUCCCCUCGUAAAUGGCUUGUGGGGCACUGCUUCACUUAUAUUUAAAUGUAGCUUCUCUGAAAGCAAACGCGCCUGAUUAUCCCCUGUGCAAAAACAAGUUGAGUCCUGACUCCUGACGUAAAGGAAACUUCUUUGUCCGCAAUGAAUAUCUAUUGCAGAAAAUGUCGCUUUAAUAAGAUAGUGUGCAGGCCGGUCUAAGGCAUGUUGGACUGAGGGUGUCUUUGGGGACCUUCUGUUGCUUCUGUGAGAGGGAAAUAUCAGGCUGUGAAUACUAAAAAGGACAAUAACAAUGCAGGGAGAAGAAUAAAGAGAGGAGGGGAUUCAUCUGCAUAUUUAUGUGUAAAGUUUGAAAUACAAUCUGUUUAGAAAGAUGGUAGGUUUGUUUUCUCUGGUUUACCCACUGAUUCUGCAAUUGUUGUGUCUGAAUGUUAAAAUAUCACUUCUCUGAACGGUUCUUAUGUAAGUCUCUCAGUUUUUUUUCGCAGUUACUUUACAUUUCUAUCUUUAAAGGAGAGUAAGACAACUGUGGUCUGCAUCUGUAUUUCAGUUUCUACACCUUGUGCCUCAAAGGAACUUGAGCUAUAUCAUGCAUAAAAUGUUUCAAGGUUCAGGUCAUGCUCACACAUGCAGACAGGACUGGUUAAAGGGAUAUUAUGGCGUAAAUUUAAGUUAGGGUCAAACACACUGUAACACCAAGUUAGACACCCCCUCAAGGGGUGAAUUUUGCCCACUGCUUGCUUUUCUCGACAUACUAACUUCAGCAACGACCGCACGAUAGCAAUACACAGCGGUCUACAUCUCCACACAGAAACCUCAACCAAAACACCACUCUAUAGCCACUAAUAAUGCUCAGAACAGCACCUAACUUCAUCAACAGUAUGCAUAGGGUCCCAACCAUAGGACUAGCCAUCAAACAUCUUUUUAGCUUUGCCUGAUUUCUUUAGCUAAGAGACUAAACACAACUCAUCCACUCUUCUCUGGCAGCCGUUUGUUUGUGGGUGGUGCCUUGACGAGUCGAUUGCUGAGUGCAGUGGCUCAUUUCCAUGAAGUAAUAAUCACCAUAUUAAUCAUUUUGCACUGCAGACGGGUAUUUCUUCUGCCUUAGCGUCUUGGUCUGAUUGCCUAUCCAUGAAGUACUGAUCAUAAAUGUUCUUCCUUGAGCUGCAAAACUCCGCUGCACUCAGUGAUCGACUCGUCAGGGCACCCCCAAAAACAAGCAGCUGCUGGAAGAGAGUAGGUGAGUUGUGUUUGGUCUCUUUGCUAAAAAUGUUUGAUGGCUAGUACUAUGGCUGGGACCCUAUAUGUACUGUUGAUGAAGUUAGGUGCUGUUCUGAGUAUUAUUUGUGGCUUUUUGGUUGAGGUUUGCAUGUGGAGACUUAGACCGCUGUGUAUUGCUAUCCUGCGGUCGUUAUUAAAGUUGGUAUAACUAGAGAAGCAAGCGGUCGGCAACAUUCAUCUCUCGAGGGGGUGUCUAACUUGGUGUUACAGUGUGUUCGACCAUAACUUAAAUUUACUCCGGAAUAUCCCUUUAAGUUGAACUUACUUCAACUUGACAGUGAUCAACUGGCACACAAGAGGAUCUGGCAAAAUUUGGCAGGCAGCAUCAAUCACUUACUUAAUGAGUCGAGACUUAAAAGUCUACAAGCACUAGCACACACAAAAGCGCCAUUUUAUUCAAAUAAUUCUGAGGAGCAAUCUGGCAUAAACAAAAGACCAAGAAAACUAUUAACUGAGUGCCAAGCCUUCUGCUGCUUUCAAGCUAUAUCAUUCAAACAUUUAUUUCAAGGUUGAGUGAGAAACAUGAUUCACAUUAGCUCUGAAGUUUUAUUAUUGAGUUUGAAAUAUUGAGAGAUUUUUGACAAUUAAUUAAUCUCCUACUUUAUAAAGAAAAAAAACACCAACAUUUGAUAUCGCUCUCUACACGUCAUCUGCAGCAUCUAGCUUAAGUGCAUGUGUUUAUUUACAUGUACACCAAACAAAAUGAUGAAGUGCAGAGUCCUGAACACAUGGCAGCUUUGAGUGACAGUCGACAUAUACAGUGGAUUACAUAUUAUGAGGCCCCACAACAAAAGAAAUCACAGUUGUGUUGCCUCACUUGAAUUCACAGGGAGUGAGUGUCCCUCCUUACCCUAAGGGCUGGCAAUAUCAUAUAACUGUUAUUGAAGGGAGAAGCAUAUUAGAUAUAUACUCUACUCCUCAGAGCCACAAGUGUUGGCUGAGGCAAUAAACUCCAGUCUAUUGUUGUACACCGGUGCAUGUCUGUCAUUGUUUGAGGCACAGAUACUAUAUACCUUUCUGGCACUCCUCAGUUCAUCCCCCUUAAUUUGUAAGACAUGGAUAAGAAAUAUCCUAUCUUUGAAUAGUUUUCACCUCUUGUAAGAUGAAGUAUACUGUAUUUAUUUUGAUAUGUGUCUUGUCUCUUCUAAUUUUUUUACAAGAAAACAUAUGUAGCUAAUUGAACUCUGAAAUUUGAGGAACCUUAUAUGGAUGAACUCAUCAACUGUUGUAUUGUUUAUGGUAAAACUUGAAAUUUGACAUUUGUGGUAUCUCCAAGUUUCAAAAAAAUUCCAUUUAAAGCCCCACUAGUAUUAUUAUUAUCAUUAUUAUUAUUAUUAUUAUUACUUAAAGUGUUAUCAGUGGUCUUUAAAUUGUGCUCAGUAGCUUUUCUUCUUCACACUUCUCCUCGUGUUAGCUUGCAGUCUAACACUGCCGGUGUAGUUGAAGUAGCAGGUCAUAUAGGCGCUAUUCAGUUCUGAGACACUAAUGUCUUUAGAGGCAUUCACAGCAGUUUGAAUGCAGAAAUACUCAGAAAUGCAAUUUCGCACUCUCUUGAUAUACCUUGUAGCAUCAGAAAAAUGCCAUAUAAAAAUGUAAAAAACAAGAAAAACAUGAUUUUCAUCUGAGACUUACUCUAUAAUUAGUGAGUCUUUAAAAUAAAUACAUUUGCUUAUGAAACUUUUCAAACAUAGACAUGAAACUCAGAACAAAAGGGCUGAGAGUCAGGUUAGAUUAAGGGCCUGUGAGAGACACUAAUGAGUCUCUUAUAAAGACAGAAGCCUCUCCUCAGGAGAGAUGGCGUUAUCGGCUAUUGGUGUCUUUAAUGAUAAAGUACCGGAUUUGCAAAUAUCUAAAGAUUUCCCCACCCUGCAGGCUAAAUGGCUGCUAUUUGCUGAAAUGACAGAUAUGUCUGGUCAGUAAAGGUCCACCUGCUCAGUUAUAUUGAUCUCUUUUUUUAAGCUCAUGGGGCAAAUGUGGACCAACGUGAAACAUUCAAUAUCCAAUCAAAUCAGCUCCAGAUUGUCACUAACUUCUUAAAACUGAACCAGGGACUGCUUAUUAACAUAUAGAGUUGUAUUUUUCUCCCUUUUCUUCUUUGUAAACAUACAUGCUCUUCUAUUACUUUUAUGUUCCCUUGUUAAUCUGUUCUUUAUCGUGUUUUAACAGCCUUCUUGUUGUUGUUGGAAGGUGCUAUAGAAACAAUCUUACCUUGCCUAAUGGUCCUUCAUUAAAAAGUGUGAUACUGAGUUUUUUUCACGCCUUAACAGCUCCCUCAUAUCUCUAAGUACAAACACUCUUCCUGUAGCCCUCUUAAAAGGUGAGUCAAAGUGACUCUUACUUUGCAAAGUCAAACUUUCACACAGUAAUGAGAAGACAGAAUAACCCGCAAAGCAUGAAACACGAGCCAAUUAAAGCGAGACUCGAGUAAUUAAUUACAGUCUGAAUAAAACUGUAAGACUGUUCAGGAGGUGAGUGAGAGAGCAAUUUAACAUCAACAAUAUGAGAUUGAACACACAAAGCUUCGAAAAUGGUCAAAUAAAACCGGACACAAUGCAAAUUUUAGGUUCAGCUCUCUAACUAAAAUGCAGCCGAGAGGAGAGCCGAGAAUUCAUGUCUCAUUUAUUUUUGGAGUUAUCUCAGAGCUCUGCAGUGGCUGCUUUGGCCGAGCUGGGGGAGUGAGGAUAGCAGACGAGAUGAGAUGCAUGGAUGGAUAACCUUCUCAAGGUCUUAGAAGGAUAAACAUGAGCUUAUUUUGGAGAUGCUUAGGCUAACCAAGGCUCUAUGUGCAGCAGACCAUUCCCCAACGUGCUCUCUGAAAAUGAUUUGGGAAGACAUGAUUAGGUUUCACUUCAAAGAAAACAACUCCUAAAUUAUUCUUGAAGCUUUAAACUGUGAGCUUCAUUUAGUCCAUGUCUUGUUUCCCAUCGGAAAACAUCAUGUUUCAGCCCUGUUUAAUUAUUAACCCACAAAGCCAAACACGGCUACACGCUUUGGUUUGAAAAACCAAUUUGUUACAGUGACUGCUGAGCUCACUCAGGCUGCCUGCAAAAUGCAGCACUGUACAAAACCAGAACAGGAACAUAAACCCUUAAUGUAAUGCUAAUUUAUGUUUUACAUCUAUUUGUUCAGAUUCUUUUUAUCUUCCUCACUUCUGUGUCAUAUCUAAAGUGUAGCCGCAUACACUUCUUGCAGUUGCAGUUUUUUUGUUAAUGUUAACCUCUGUGUUGUAGUCUGUGAUGAAGUACAAGUCAAAAAAUGUAUUUUAAAGGUCAGUUUGUGCUGUGUGCUCACCUGAAAAGAUAUUUUUCUUGUUAUUCUUCACUUUUGUUAUCGUGAAUUGUCUGAAUUUCGCGCCCAUGGCUUCCAGCAGCAGUGAUAUGAUUUCUAACUGACAUCUUUGUGCCACAGACCGUUCAGUUCUGUCCAUCGACUCACAUUUAUAGUGGUUUUAAAUAUUUGCUGCAGCAGCCUGAGAUUGUUUAUCUUCGGCGUCUUGGCUCGAUCCUCAUCACUCCUCAUAGAUUUGUUUUACAUGCAGCAGGCUGAGUAAGAAGAGAUGAGAUAAUAUCUUACACACUCUGUAGCUGAAGCCGUAGCAGGUGGAUGCUGGGGAUGAGAUGGUGGGGCUGAGCGUUUGAGAACAGGACAGCGAUGACAAUGACAGAGCACUGGAAGAGGUUUUGCAGCCUGAAUAGACCAUAUCCAGGAGGAUGCACUUGUCAGGUGACAGAGGAGAAUGACACAUGCCAAGUGUGUAAACAGUGCAACUCAAGCUGCCAGCCUACAAUAGCUGACAGAUGUCAGUUCACCUAAAGCUUCCGUGAGGAGUUUGAGUUGGUUAUAAAACAGAGAGAAAAUCAAUCCUGAUGCCUGAAUAUGACCAACAAAAGCAAACAAGAACACGAUCAGUCUCAUAACUGUCCACAGUGUCCCCAGCUGGCUCACAGAAAGUGAUUUGGCUGGGCUGCCAAAGGUGUUACUCAGUCCAUUUUCUGAGGGUAGCAAGCUCUUUACUUUCGUACAAACCAAACAACCAAAUUUCACAUUCUGCCAUUUUUUUCCCAGCUAACAGAUGCUGCACCUGUGUUAGCUCCAGUUGUCGGUUGCUGGAGUCUAUCCCAGCUGUAACUGGGCGAGAGGUGGGGUACACCCUGGACAGGCCGCCACUCUAUCUAGAUUAUGCAAAAAUCAAAUAUUCUGUUUCCUCACUUUGGGGAAAAAAGUCCUUGUGCAUUAUUCUGGUGCACCCUGGCAACACUAUACUCCUACUUUUAUGUAAACUUACCAUAAAGUGGGAGUACUCAUCUUUAAAUAUAAAUAAUUUUAUUUUUAAUUUUCAGUUAACAUAUAAAACAAUUAUAUUCUCUGUAUUACAAAUAACUAUAACAAACAGUCCUGACAGUAGACAGAGACAGAUCGAACCCAAAAUCCAAAAAACUAACAAAUAAACAAAAAAAUACAAAAUUAAAAAACAAAUGCACUUAUGCUGCAUUUGAGUUACCUCGGAAGUCAGACGUCACAUCCGAGCUCCCAGCAUUUCAGUUACCAAGUCCGAAAAAAGCAAAAUCGGAGGCGGAAACAAGAUGGCUACAUCUUCGCGCUUGUCCGAAUAUAAGGCGAGUGCUAAAAUAACUUUUGUAGAUGUAGCCAUCUUGUUUCAGGCCUCUGAUUUUACUUUUUUCCGACUUGGUAACUGAAAUGCUGGGAACUCGGAUGUGACGUUAUUUUCAGCUCUGACAUCUGACUUCCGAGGUAACUUGAAUGCAGCAUAAAUACUUAUUAUUAUGGAAUUUGUUCAGGGGGAGAUGUAAUGAUUCAGAGUUCAGGUAAAUUGUUCACAUAAGUUAUUAGAGAGUCCCAAGUUUUGUCCCUAAUCCAGUGGUGAUGAGAUGGAGUCGUAGCAGCCUUCCAUUUGAAUAAAAUCAAGCGUCAAGCUAAUAAGUAGGAAAAGGCAGAGAAAAAAUAUUUUAAAGGAAAUGUCAAGGUCCCAAAAAAAUUUGAGGUAAUAGGACAGAACGUUGAGAGGGACCCUCUCUAUUUUUUUCAUGAUAUCAUGAAACAUACUGACGAAUCAGAAAACGUACUAUCUUUGUUCCCAUGGCCUAAAACUUGGACUUGGACCAAAAUACAGUGGAAUUCAGUUUAUAACACAUAGUUUGACAGACAAACCUCUUCACAGUGUCUCUAAAACAGCAACAUUAACUUCUUCAUUGUCAUCUUUGGAGCUCUAACUAUGGAUUGUAAUGAUCACACUCAUGGACAAGACUGAAAUAUGCCUUUACAGAGUUAUAUGUCUUGCUUAAAACCCUCCACACAGCAGAUGUAUGUUGUGUUACAGAAGGACUACCACCUAAAGACCAUUUUUCUGUAAGCGAAGGGCAGUGGACAGCUUAUCUGGCACUCACUGGCCUCUGACUGUGCAGGUCAGUGCUGCUGCAGGGGUUUACGGUUUGGCCCUUUUUAUGGGUGAAGCUAAAAUGAAGAGUAAUAGCAGGUUAUUAGCGAUUUACGUCUGAGAGGCUUGCAGGAAAAAAAAAAAAGCUGGCUGUGCUAUAACAAGUAGUGAUUCCCAACCUGCAGACUGGAGCAGGUGACAGAGAUGAGGGCUGUGGCUGAAAGAAAUUGCAGAGCUGUCAACUAGAAUAAAGCACAGAGCUUACUGGCAAACUGUCCCCAGCAGUUUGAGUACAGAAGCUGCUCUGUGCAGAAGACUCACAUCACCAUGGAAGAAAAUAUGAAAUGUCUCUCCGGCAGCUCUCUCCAGAUAAUGCCACUCUGCCUGAUGCAAAAAUAGCUCUCAGUAAUAUGUGUCAAUGUUUGUUUUCCCCACAAACUACGACGAAGAACUUUAUGGUGUCUAAGAAUUUCAAUAUUAGCUCAAUACUGCAAUAAAUCCCAGAAGUUUAGGUAUAAUUUUGGCAGCAUCUCUUUUUCAUACAAAGCAAUGAAACACGUGAAAUUGAACAGCCUUCAAAGGAAUUAGAUGACAGCCACUCACGUCUCUUGUUUUUACCAUAAUCCACCUUAAAACUACAGCCAAAUGGCAGUUUGCAGUUAAGUUAGAAAGUAGUCCACUUUCCUGUGAGGCUCUAUGAAUAUAAAUUGUUUGCAUGAAAUUAUUUGGAUGGAUCACAGUCACAACAAAGUGUUAGGGGGUAAACAAUGGGCAGAGGAUUACAUAGAGAAAGACAGUAAUAGAGUAUUACCCUGGAGAAUCCCAUUUUAGGCAGACUUCUUAUCAUCUCUUUCUAUCGAUCAGAACAUUUACAGCCUGAAGAGCCUAUAGGGACACGGCAUGGCCUCCAUUACUUUUAUUUUUGUGUCAAAUGCAAUGCACUUACUGUUAUCUGAGAAACUUCAGAAAGUGCACCACACAAAUUCAAUUCAUCAAGAUUUAUGCUGCAUAGAUACGUAUGAUCAGAUUCACUGUGUUGCUCUCAGAAGUGUAAGUUGGUGAUAAAGAAAAGGAGCAGAGGAAAUGUUAGAAUAAGACAAGGACAAAAGAAAGUAACAAAAACAAAGACAGGAAAACUGAAUUAUCCCUUAAGGCUUGCAUGCCUUUGGGGCUACAGCGCACUUUACACUGAAAUGCUGCUUUCCUGCAGAACUGAGACCUCGGUGGUGUAAAAACUGUGCAGUAAGUGCAGUUGUCUUAAAUAAAAAAUUGACCUCAAUUGGAAAUCUUUUGUAGUCUGAAGAUAUAUUUAAUUCCUUUGGGUAAAAAAAACUAUUCUCUCAGCUUUCAAUGUAACUUCAAGGGGUGGGAAUCCCUUGGUACGAUAUUAUCAUGAUACUUUGGCAACGAUACGAUAUUAUUGCGAAUUUUAACAUUUUGCGGUACCGUGAGUAUUGCGAUACAAUAUAUUGCAAUUUUUUUCAACUGUGUAGAUAAUUUAGCAUUUGUCUUUCCUGUAUGUUUGUCUUAUUUACGCUGUAUUUUAUUUUCAUGUAGCACAUCUUGCAAGCCUUACAUAUAUAUUUGUUGUACUAACUUUCUCCUGCUCCAUGAUGUCACCUCUGCCAACCUCACUGGACAAACAGUUGAUUUUAUUUUUCUGUUAUCAUAGAUUUGACUUCAUAUUAGCAAUUAAUUUGAAAAAUCGAUGCUUGGUCAGUGAGACGAUACUAUUUAACACCAGACAAAAUAUCAGUAUACUAUGCUGUAUUGAUUUUUUCUCCCACCCUGAGUAACUUCAUCAGAUUAAACCACACUUGUCUCGACUUUCCAAUUAGUCCAAUGUGGAAUAAUCCUCCUCUAUUCUUAUUUUACUUUCCUCUUUUUAGGACAGCUGUGGCUCAGCGGUAGAGCUGGUUUGAUCCCAGUUCCAACAGCCACAUGCCAAAGUGUUACUGAGGAGACAAUGAACCCCCAGAUUGCUCCUGCUGACAUAGUGGGGUUGUGAAUGGGUUUGAUUACAGUUAGUUACUCCUGAUGGUCCCCUGCUCAAGUUUCCUUUGCCAUUAGUGCAUGAAUGUGGUGAGUGAAAGCGCUUUGAGUGGUCAGAAAGAUUAGUGAAUUGUGACACAAGAAGAGUUUCAUUUACUAUUCUUUAAUCAGUGCUAAUUAUGGUGGAUUAUCGCCCUUAGAAACACUGUUUUUACUGGUUAAAAAAAACAACAACCCUAGACCCCAAAAAGGGGGGGAGGUCUUAGAGUCACACUUUGACCCAUUACAGCACCUAUGGUGUUUGGUGACCUUUUACCAUUUUACCACAGUGUACCAAAUUAAAUCAGCUCAUGGGCUCUAGUGUUGUGUCGUUUUGGGAAUGAUUCAUUCAAAAGUACGAAUCUUUUAAGUAAACGUACAGAACCGAAUCACUUCCUCAAGUGAUUUGUUUCUCAGUUCAGUUGAGCUGUCAGCAUGCGCCGACGCCUGGAUCACUUGGUGAACGAAUCACUGAGUGAACUAUACUCCCACCACAGUUAUUUUCAUCUGAGGGAUACGCUUUCAUGGCCACUGGUGUUCCCUAUUGUUUUAACAGAUUUAGCUUUAUUUCCCAAUUAAACAACCUUAAAACAUUAGGCUGGCAGUAAUGCGAGGAGAGUGAGACUCACCAGCUGUAGCGAUCUUGGCUGGAGCGACGGAGGAAGAUGAGGUGUGUUGUGUUCAAGUGUACUACCUCGGAGAAAAUGAAAUUUUGAUUCAGUGAAGGAAUCUUUUGAACGAAUCUUUUUAGUGAACUGAUUCUAUUGUGUCAGUACAUCUAAAAGAACUGCUGUGCACAUCACUAUUGUACUCAGUGCUCUUUACUGAACAUCUUAAUUCCUUUAUUUUGUAUGAGUACUGGUGUAGGGGCAAACAAACUGUGAGUAAAACGCACAAGAGUCCAACAGAGUAUUUCAACCUGAUGUGUAAGCUAGGAGUGAAUUUUUGUCUUAUAUAUACAUACAUUCGGAAACACAGCAUGGCUGAGCACAUACUGUAUAAUGAAGCAGGAAAUCUCCUUGACUUGGACUCUCUGAAUUUGCAUGAGCAAAGAAACUGAAGCAGUUUGUGUGCGUUCUGUUGGGCGUCUGAGACUACUCCAAAUCCUACUCGCUCUGGUUCUGCACCUGCUGCAGUACAGAUCCAGCAGAGUGAGCAAAAGCGGAUCCUACGGUCUCUUGGCUGAGUGGACCCCUCUCUGUCUGACUCUGAGCUGGGCAGUUCUUCAACCAGUUGCCUUCCAAAGAAUCAGAGUGGAAAGUGUUUAGGAAUCCCCAGUGAGCUGUCUGAGGUGAUUGAACCAUUACCUGGCUUUUCUCAGCAAAAUGUCUCAGCGUGCGUGGACCAGGUCUCUGUUUCUCUGCUGUGUAGACUGUGUUAGGUUAUCUCUUAGGUGAACUACCAAAUUUAUCACCCGCUGCAUAAGCUGACCCACAGAUGUGAUUACUUCCGCUGCUGCAUCCUACACAAAUCCACAACUUUUUCCUUUCUGUAUUUUUCAACACUCAGUAGGGAUUUUGCUUUUUUUUUUACCAGUAGCUGCAGGUACGCUCGGCUUCUCUAUGAAUAAUGCGUCAAAUGUAGUUAUGAAUACUUUUUGAAUGUACAAUAUUACAGCAGAUAAAAACAGACAUGCUGUAAAGAAACCAGAAAAUAUAUCCAGGUCAUCCAAACUGUAUCAGCAGGACGUGUUACCAGAAGAGCUCCAUAAAGUGUCACUCACUCAGCUCUUUCAGAGUGAGAUAUAUUAAAUACACACACACACGACUUGAACCACCAAAUUAUCUGCUGAGAACCCCCAAUUUGUCACAGCCCAUGGUUUGACAACCACACACUAAGACUAUAAAAUGAAAUCCAUAAUGCAUGUCUUUACAGGUUUUUAAUCUUUAAAGGGUGUAAGUGAAUAAUUUUCUGUGGAGGAAGAGCUGGCUUUUGAGAUUAGGCUCCCUGCAGCUCCAAAGAAUUUUAAAUUUGAGACACUCGCAUGCACUGAGUGACUGCAGCCUCCAACACAUGCUGCUAUCAGUGAACACCUUUGUUCCCACAGGUAUCUGAGCGUAUAGGCCACAGCUUUCCUCAGGGCCCAAGGCCAGCAAAGAGAAUUUAAAGUUUUGUUCAAAGAGGAUGUCUGCUGGAGUUUUUGGCUCGGGACAAAAAAUACUGUACAUUAUAAUUAUUUUCCACAGAAACACAUGGCUUUCAAGCUAGAAAGUGUUUUAUAGUCAUGAUGUGACAUUUUUUGCCAUGAAAAGUAGUUUUUAAUCAACAUCCAGACAAUUAGUUACCAUUAAACUUUUCUUUUAUAAACUUAUAAUUAUUUUUUUCUGUAAUGAUCUUCAGUGGAGACGACAUUGUGUGUGUGUGUGUGUGUGUGUGUGUGUGUGUGUGUGUGUGUGUGUGUGUGUGUGUAUUUGGGGCAAAAUCAUAGACUGUGUUUGGUUUUCAUUUCAUUUCAAGCAGGUAAAUAAAAGUGAUAAAAGGACCAUAAAGGACAUAUAAGGACAUAAAACUUUUGUUUGUCAUCUUUCUCUUUUACCUUUAAAUCCCUCAAAGUCCAAAUCCACGGGGUGUUUUGUCUGAAAUGUUUUUGAUGCAUAUGUAACUGAGAGUGAAGUAAAACACAAGUCACAUUUGAAAUGUCACACUGAAAUCUCAAAUUUAAUUUUGCGUUCCACGUAAGGACUGUUUCUAUUUCUCAGCCCUUUCUCAUAAAAAAACCCUCUACCUCAUAGAAGAAAAAAUAUGCAGAGCAAUGACAGGUAUUGAUCUGACAGUACUGGACGUUGUCAUGCUGCAGGAGAAUCAAAAGGUGUAUGAGAGUAUGGCAAUUAAUUACACUGAUUUUAGUGUCCAUCAUAAUGGAAGUUUGGCUUUGACUCUGCAUGUAAUUACUAGAGGGCCACACAGGACGCAUACCAAGUGUGAAAAUGAGAAGUUGAUUUCAAUGUACUUUGGCGUAUGUUGGGGUAAAAAGCUUCUGAAUGUCUUUUAUGGGAAACCUCUGUUCACCAAAACACUCCAGAUCUAUUAAUGCAUGAUAAAACAACAUGGCUGCACAAUAACCCUUAUGCUGUAUAUUAAAUAAAAAAGCAGACAGCUCCAUCAUUGCAUGUAUACUUUGUGCACAAUGUGUCACACAGUCGCAGUUUGUUAAGCUCUGUUUUAUCAUUCUUGUUAAAUUCACUAGAGCCUGUUUUAUAUAAGGUUAGAGGUGCCCUGGAUCUGGGGUCUUGGGCACUGCUAGCACAAAAAGACACCACUUAAUAGACAGAGACCUUUCAUAAUUAUUCAUUAAUUCCUGAAUUAGUCACACAUUGAGUUAUUAGCAAAUUACAAAUGCAUACAUUUUACACAACUCAGCACCUGAACUUUUUUUCUGAGAUUUUAAAUAGUUAAAGUAGGGAUGAAAAGAGGUGAGGUUCAGUUUCUCAGGUCCAUAUUGCACUAAGCAAAGUCUUGGUCGAGGUCCAAGUCUAAAUAUUCAUACCUUUUUAUUGGCUGAUUACGGUUUCAGAACAGUCUCUCUUAACUAAAAUUGAAACCAUGAACUUAAAGUGGUCACUAAUAGGUCCGGAAGACGGAUCGCUGCAAAUAGUAACAGCAAAAACCUUUGAAUACUGGAUGCCACUAAGUAAAGCACCUAUGGCUGACACCUACCCCCUCACACCAGUCUCAGGCAUUUAACCAAACAUGGAUCCUCUAUCGGUCAUAGUGUGUAGAUAGUGGUCACAUAAAGGGAGGAUACACUGAGGUUCACACAUGGACCACCUAAAAUAUUUCUGCAGUCUCAGGAUGCUGUGAAAUCCAUUUAGAGGAGCGUUUUCAAUCAGUCUGUCAGAGCUGUUUGUUGUAGUCCACCAAAAUUAAAUUACAUCUAUUUAUCUUUUGCAUUCAUUCAUUCAUUUUGUAAUUCACUUUUCAGCAGUUCAGGACAAGCGUUUGGUUUAUAUUUUUGCAUUAAUUAGGCAGUUUGAUUUUUGUUUACAGAGAUGGUGAAUAAGCUACUUGAUAGAUAUUCACCAGGGAAAAGUGCAGGGCAAACAUCAGUUUUCAGGCUGGAUAGCUAAUUAGAGGCUCAUGUUGUUUCUGUCAAAAUAAAUGUUGUUUUUUUUCUCUUCAAUACCAAACUUUUUGGAAAGUUUGCUCACUUUGAUGCCUAUUCUCUGUAGUGUUAACCUUGACAAGAAAUUAAAAAAUAAUGUUGGACAUAAUCAUUUUCCAAAAACGGUGGCUAAUUUUCAGUCAUGUUUUUGAUCUCUGUGAAACUUUGUUUUAACCCCAUUUAGGUCUAAUAUCAGCUGUUCUUUUAGUCAUUAUUUAAACAGACAGUUUAAUAUCCGUUUUAAGGAGAGAUAUUUUCCUGGUUGUGUAAAUUUCAGAGGUGAGAUAGAAUACCUCAGUCAUUUGGCUGAAAGACAAUUUCUAACCUACUCUGAAAAGUGCAAUAAGUCACAUUUCUUAUUCACUACAUAGAGCUAAAAUGAGCUGAACUCUGUCUGUGUUUGCUGAAUGACCAAGGGUCUGUAUUUAAAUCUUAAGAAAUCAUCAAUCCUCAUUUAGGAGUGUGUAGAUGUGAGCCAUAAGGAAGCUUGGCUCUGUAAGAGUUUACGAUUGGUUAAUGUACCAUGGCGUGCUAAUGGCCGACAGGUGUUCUGUCCAGUUGUGCUACUUUGUUAAAGAACACCACAAAGGUUCCUGAGUUUUGUGAACAUUAAAUUGAGAGAGUUAAUGUGUAUUCAUAUCAUCCUCUAAUCAUACAUCAUUGUUACUUACCUUGGCAGACACUGAGGGGUGCUUUGUUUUCAGGUGUCCUUUAAAAUUCUAUGUUUUUUUCCUCCCAUCUUGUCUUUCAAAAAUGUGUUUGCAGGUGGGUGUCUUUUCUUUCUUGGUUCUUGGUUGUAAUGAGGCUCAUAUUUCUGGUGGUGCCAGCUGCCAGCAUUAGCUUUGUUUAAUAAGACAGCUACUUACCAAAGACUGGAACAAGACUUCUUACUGGCAUGCACUGUGCAAAAUAAAUCAUGGAAUGACUGUGGAAAAAGAUGCAUGAAGGUGUGGCGAUAUAUAAUUGAUCAAAAAGUAAUCAAACAGUGAUGUAACCAUGCAGUUAAUGGAUGUGAUUGGUUGUCCUUCUAAACAAAUGUGUCCUGUCCUUGUUCUCUGGAGCGUUCUCUGGAACAGAAAUCUCGCCAUAUUGAUUCUCUGUCAGUUUGCUUACCAUUUACAUCAGUGUCUUUAUCGAGACAUGAAAAAUUAGUUGGUCAACAAAGACUUUUUCGUUUACAAAAUUAACACUGGCUUGUUGCAAAGGCUGCCAGGCACUGUCAAUCAAACAUAGACACGCCCUCCCUGCAGGCUGAGGGGAGGAUGCAUGCCAUUGUUUCUUACUCAAUACCUUUUCUGACAUCAUUCAUCAAUGCCAAAAUUGAUGGAUAAAGGUGAUUAUAGCAGGGGUUCAAUUUUAGAGUCAUUAACUCUAAUGAAUUGUUUUUUUUUUCCCACUAAGGCUACGUUCACUCUGCAGGUUAUGAUGCACAAUUUGGAUUUUUUGUUAAAUCCGAUCUUUUUGUGCGGUCGUUCACAUUACAACAAUGAAUGCGGCAUCUAAUGUGAACAGAAUGCGUCCGUAAAGUGACCCACAUGCACACAAAGCACAAAUUGCUUUCCGCGCCUGUUUGUGUUGUCGAACAAUGGUGACGUUUGUCGCAUAUUGAUGACAUAUAGGUCGGAUGAACACCACCUGAGCGUCCACACUGCAGUCACAUCGGAUACAUGUCCGAUUCAUAUCCACAUACAAAAGAGGCCUGGGUCGCAUUUGAAAAAAUCAGAAUUGCACUGUUCACACUUACAUGAAAAAAUCUGAAAUGUGUCACAUAUGGUUAAAAAAUCGGAAUUGACGUGCAGUGUGAACAUAGCCCAUGUACGUAGAUCUAGCUUUUGGGAGGGAGCUUCACACCCUCCAGAUGUGAUUUGUCUAAGUGAAAGGCUAAAGUUGCGAUCAGAAUAAAAUAUGACGGGGCACCUCAUAUGGAGCCCUAAUUGCAGAAGUACCUCCCCAAAAAGUAACUUCAAAAAUACAGAUUAAAAACUGUUAGUAAUUGAACUAUUUUCAACAAAUCAUAGUGUGAAUAAUGACUCAAGUGUUUUCCUGAUUCGAACCCUGGGCAGCUAUGAAAAAACACACAGCUACAGGCACAAACUCAAACACACAAGCUUUCAUCUUUCCAUGCACUUCAUAGACCAGACAACUGUGGUCAAGACCGGGAGGCUUACAGGUUUUUAUGUGUCCCCGAGCCUUUUGCUCUGUCUGAAACAGAAAAGUUGGAUGUUUGUAUCAAACAGACUUUUUGGGACUGAAGGUCGGGCUGCACAGACGGAUGGUUUCUCUCUACAGCUGAAAACUCAAACCAAAGACUGCUGGGUGUUUGUUUCAUCCUUUCUGGAGCUCAGAAAUGUGUAACCUGCUGUUGCAAAAUUAUUCCAAUCCCAUCUGUGGCUGAAACUGCUUUUACAAACUCCCAUUACACAGCAUGAGUGCAGCAACAAGAACAUACUGUAUAGUGAGAGCUUGUUAACUUGUUAUAGAUACUGUAGAAACUCACUGAAAUUUUUGCUAAAAUAAGUGGCUUGUUUGCUAAAUUUCUCAAAGUUUUUAAAAGAAGUUUUAAAAUCUUCAUAUUUUGACAUCUUAUUGUCGCUUCAUUGUAGUAAAAAUGUCCACCAACCUUUAUUCUGAAGUGUUUAAUUGGCAAAGAAAGCCCCAACCAAUUUCAUACAAUAUUCACUCACACUCAGUUGCUCUUCACUGUUGCUGGCUGGUUCAAUAAACCUCUCAACUCUAUAUGGAAGCGUUGUUGCUUUUUCAUGCAUGUAGGUGUUGUUUGAAGACAGACUCACUAGUGAGCGCUUGUGGUAAAAUUGGACUUUAAGUCUGCACCCCUCCCUGUAUCUGUUGUGUGUAUUUACUUGUUGUACCAUGGCCUCAUACUGCAUUUCUAUUGUGGGCAACUGAAAAUGGACCCUUUCUUACCAAACGCAGCACAUUCAUUGUGUGGUACCCUGCAAAGGAAGCUGCAACUCUGCCCACAAGCUCUUUGGAAAACACUGACUUUCUUGUCGGCAUGACGCCUUCAUGACUUUAUGCACCAACCCCAGGCAGUAUGACAAGCUUGGGUAGUUAAAGAAGAGCUGCACUCUGGAUUAACUAAUGCAUGAACAAGCGUGUCCCUUUUGACUCCAUUAUCCUGUGAGUUGAAACGAUAACGGCCUUGGUGAUGACAAUGACUAAUUUACAGUACUGCAAAGAUGUUGCAUGGUUUUAGUUUUUUGCUUGGUCAAAACUGGGGAAUGGAUUGCCUAUAGCUGAGACAUAUGAAUAGUUUAGAGAUAUUUAUAGGGACUUGGUGUACGUAGCUUGAGGACAGGGUGGUGAAGGUCAUACUGGGACAUAAGGCCACCCUGUACGGUAACACAGAUGGGACCUGCAGAGGUUAUGGUGUAUUUGCCAUUUGGAGUUCACAGGGUGUGAAUGCAUGAAAAGACAUCAUUAGACAGUUUUUGCACAACUCACAGCUCACCUCAGGCAUGUCUCUCACAUAACGUAGAAAUAUUUCAGCUGCUUAUUACAUUUAUAACACAACCGAGAGCUUCAAAUGCAUGAAUCUAACAUGAUAGCCAGGGGAGUGAUAAACUGUGAAUUAUAAACCCUUUUACAUCAAGAGUAUAACAAAAGGGAUAAAAACAGUGAUUAGUAUUUGCUUACUAGACCAUGUCUGAUGCCGUGUCUUUCCAGCUUUUUUCAACCAUUUUUUGAGUUCUGAGAUUUUGUGCUGUUGUGACCACGUCUAUAGAAAUGGCUGUGAAAUGAAAAUCAUGACUGGAGUUUCAGGACUAUAUCCUCUGUCUCUUCUCAAGGAUGUUUUUUUGAAGAUAGCUCGAGAAAUUUUACCUCUUAGAAAGAAAAAAAAAGGGGAAAAAAAUAAGUGAUUGAAAUCUUUUGGAGAAGGUGUUCAGUGGACCUUGAGUUUAAAGUAGGAACAUAAAGCAUGUAAGAGACAGUUUCUGUGAGAGACCACACAAGCAGUGCAGCCAUUGGUUAACAUUCAAAAUGCUUCAGGGAAGGUUAUCACCUGUAUAUACGAAAGCAGAACUCAGCUCAAGCAUUUGAAUACAAAAUUCAGUUAGCAAGCACUUUACCCAUAAAAAAUCAAACAAAACUUGUAACACCCUCGAAGGAUUCCUUUAAGAUCAAUAUUCAGUAUCCUCUAGUUUUAUCCUUACAUUCUUUGCGAGGACAGUAACAAUAACAGUAAAAUGGCAAUUAUUAUGAAACAGAGAAACACAAAUCACAGCUGAGAUGCCACGAAUAUGUCCAGAUGACUGAUACAAGCAUGCUCAUGUUCUCUUAUUAGGGGUGUUCCAACAAGGGCACCUCAUGAUUCGAUUCGAUUUCGAUUAUGGGAGCUUUGAUUCUUCGAUUAUAAUAGUUGUCGAUUUGAUUUGAUUCGAUCCGUGGUGCCACGAUUCUUUGAUUAUUGCCAUUUUUAAUGCUUUUUUCCAUACAAGAUUGAUUUUGUCUUCAUAUGUGGCUACAUUUGUAAAUAAAAAGCCCAUCAAUUAACUCAGUUCCUCUAAAAUUACACUCAAUAGGUAAAUAACAAGGUUUUUUUAACAUUCGACUUGUAGUUUUCAGAGACACAAAAUAUUCCAUUUUAUGACUGUUAAGUAAACAUUUGCACUUUGACCAACCUAAGUUUGGAGACAAUCUCCAGGAUGGUCCUCUGUGUGGCGGCACGACACUUGGGAAUGAAGUCGUACAAGGUGCUGCCUCACAUUUGUGGUGUUGUUGAAGUACUUUUAAUUUUGCUUUGAAAAUCUUGCGAAUCGUGUAGGUCUUGUCAGUCGUCUUAUUUGCUCUCUUAUAAAAUCUGAAGUACUACCACAUGGUUGCAGUCGACCCCGUUAACGAGGGAAUUGGCUGCUCUUUGGAGGCUGCUGAAGCUGUUGCCAUUUCGCAAAGAAACUAACAUGCUCUGCUUGUUGUGGUCCCACUCACUUAACAGUCCAAGCGGCGCGCACGUCAAGGUUCCAGUAACGUGUUUUUUUGUUCCGGCCUUGUGAGAAAGCAUCAACGUUAUUAUCUAUUUAUUUAAUUAAUUUAAGCAUCGAUGUGAUUUAUCGAUGCAGAAUUGUCACGUGAAGCAUCGCGAUGCAUCGACACAUCAAUAAAUUGCACCCGUCUCUAUCUCUUAUAUUGCCACAGUUAACUGUACUUUUCACUGUCUGCAAUUUUCAGACCUCAUAACUGUUUCCAAAGUCUUAUUUGUUCAAAGCUUUAACUUAAAACUUAUCUAAUAUUACCUGUCUUUAAGGAUGAAUUUUGGGUUUUAAGCUCAGCAGUUUAAUGGCGCACACUGUAAACAGAGGAUGUAGUCCUCUGAGCUUGUGGCCCAGGUUCCUAUCUGCAGACCUACGCCAUGCCUUACUCUCUCUUUCCUACUCUCUCUCUACCAUCCUAUCAUCUCAAUACAGGCAUUAAAAGGCCUGAGAAUAGUCUAUUAAAGAAGAACAUGGUUAAGUUUUAACACGUAAUUUCCUACAAAAUAAAUAUUUCUCCACCAUGUAUUUGAAAAGCUCAAAGCCUGAGAAUGUCAUAAACCAGAUUGCAUGGUUGCUGAGUUUCAGCCCCUCGUGUUGAACACUGUGCCUUGGGAUGUGGAUGAUAAAACAAAGAUGCAAUACGGCCUGUGAGGAAGCUGGUCUGAACACAGAAAUCUGCUGAUAAGCAUAAUCCCAGAAGAACACAGUAAUUGUGCAGUGUGGAAGACGCCUCAGCAGAGAUCCCGUACAGAUAAGUGAUGCCUCAGGGGCUGAGCUGCUGCCUGCAAACAAGUUGUCCGCACUGAGGGGAUGAACAAAACAGAAUAUGUUGGAGCCAAACAAUCGAGAUAAAUGAAAGAGUGGAUCCAGACAGUGGUUGAUGUUCUUAUUUACGGGAGGUAAAGCCCAGAGGAACUCGCCACAAACAUCAUCAGAGCAGCAAAAACAGAAAAGUAAUUAGACCUUCCCCUGAGAUUGUUUCCAUUGAUUUGGAAUUAUUCAAGGGUGUCACUGCAGUCAGGGGUCAGUGUGAGGGUGAAGAAGAGACAGUGAAAGAAAGAAACCAAGAUAAAGGUUAAAAAAGAAGAAAAAGAAGUUUCUACUGAAAACAAACCGGAAAAUACAGAUAAGACUGUAGUUUAAUUGUUGUCUUCGAAAUACAAAGUUUAAUUUAGUUUUUCAUAUGUUCAAGUUGAUCUCAGAUCUGUUAUUAAAUAAACAUAAGAAUUAGCUAAAAAUAUAAUAAAGAGUGUAAAAGUGAAGUAGUAAUAGCAUAAGAAUUCUCCUAACUCAGGGACAAAACAAGCACUCUAUAAAUAAAAUGUAUUAUUAUUAUUAUUAAUCCUGAUUUCAAAAGAGAUUGUAUCAAUAUUAUAAACAGCUUUCUGUUGAGUUGUGUACUCACGAUAACUCAAAAAUGUUUGACUAAUUUGUUUUGUAGGGAUGUAACUUGAGGUAAUGGUGCAUUUUAUUGUUUGACUGUCUUCAUGAAAGGUUAGAAAGGAUAUCCACACACGUCAUUUGUAAUUAAUUAAGAGGCGUAAAUAAUGGCUGUAACUGUGGAUAAAUUUACCCUUUAAAUAACUGUGACACAUUACCUCAUUUGUGAAUAUGAUUUAUGCCUCAGUUGGUUGUGGUAAGAUCCAAAGCAAUUUAAGAUUUGAUCAAAUAAUGUCUCUUUUUAUAUAUGACUUCAAGGGUUUCGCACAUCCUAAUGACAGCUUUUCGUUGUUGUUGUUAAAGGGAUGUUGCGGCGUAAAUUUAAGUUAUGGUCAAACACACCAUAACACCGAGUUAGACACCCCCUCAAGAGAUCAAUGUUGCCGACCGCUUACUUCUCUAAUUAUACCAACUUUAGGAACGACCGCACGAUAGCAAUACACAGCAGUCUACGUCUCCACGUGCAAACCUCAACCUAAAAGCCACAAAUAAUGCUCAGAACAGCACCUAACUUCACCAACAGUACAUAUAGGGUCCCAGCCAUAAUAGCCAUUAAACAUCUUUUCAGCGUUCCUGGUUUCUUCAGCAAAGAGACUAAACACAACUCACCCACUUUCCUCCAGCAACCAUUUGUUUGUUGGGGAGCCGUGACGAGUCGAUUACCGAGUGCAGCGGAGUUUCGCAGCUCAAGGAAGAAUAUUUAUGAUCAUUACUUAAUGGAAAUACAAUCAGACCGAGACGCUAAGGCAGAAGAACUACCACAUCUGCAGUGCAUAAUGAUUAUUAUGAUGAUUAUUACUUAAUGGAAAUGAUGCGGUAUAUCCCUUUAACUCUGCAUUCUUCCAUAAUGACAGUAUGGUGUUUUUAUUGGCACUGAACCUAAUUUCAAGUCCAUCCCUGUUGAGCUUUAGACCCACACAAGUUGAACGGAGGCCUUAAAACAAACUGUGAACAUCUCCAACUUCCCUCCAGUCUGAAUUCGGUGGUGUCAUGUUUUAUGUGCUGCUAUUCAAUGAGCGAUCUCUUUACUAAAGCUAAUCUAAAGGCGGAGAGUGCCACCAACCUUAAGGUGCGGGGCCACGACCGAGCUCCUGUGUAAAUUUCACUGAUUCAAAAACCAAUAUUUUCACAUAACUCAUGUGUUCCCUGUGCAGGUUCAAAUGGCCUCAUUGCUCAUUCUUAGUCCUAGGCUAGACCCUCCUCCUCUACAUCACAUGGACAGUAUAAAAACCAAUCAGAGGCAGUCAUUUAUCCUGCUGAAGGAAGAUGACAGCCAUUACUGGAGUGGAAGUGCUGUGUGUGCAGGUACAAUACACUCAUUUAUUAUUCCUAUCAAAGUGCUUAUUAAUGUUGUGAAUCUUUUUCCAGCUUCCUUCACAGGCUUCUUUAAUAUGCAUGUAAAGCACCACAUACUCAGCUGGAAAAAAAGAGGUUUUAGAUAAUGACCCAGAGCAGUAAACAUAAAAAUGUAUUAGCAAAGCAGUGGACCUCUCAUGCCUGAGUACAGUAUUAUAUAUCAUAAAACCCAAAUAUAAAAAGGGCAUGGAUCCUGUGGAAGCUUUUAUCGCACUCACAAUUUAAUUAAAUUUCACAUGGUUUUCAUGUAAUGGAAAGAGGGGUGAUUUCCUCGCCAACCUGUUCUGUCACUGAGGCAACAGCUGCUGUCGAGAACCAAAAGAGAUUUACAUGAUACAGAUGGAAUCAUCCACGACAGAUGCAAAUAAUUCAUCAGUUUCAAGAGAGGAGGUGGUAAUGUUUUCAUUAUUUUAUCUAAAUAACUAUAGUUACAAGCUCAGCCUUAAGAUGGUGAUUUAUAGAUUUGUCCCUGUUGUACAAACACGCUUUAUUUAUCUGUAAACUGUUUUAACUUCAAGUGAAUCAACAUUCUCUCAAAUGGCAAAUUAAACAUCGUUCUUCAAACAUAAAUUUGACACGAGGAUUCUCCAUCUAUAAAAGGUAACACUAAUCUCAGCCCUUGUUGCCUGCUGUUGUCUGUCCUUAUCUGGUUUUAUGUCUUCAUGAAUUUUUCCAAGUUUUGGUUGUAAACUGUGAUUCACUCGGAUUUCAUAUUCCAGUCUGAUCUGAUAUUUGUCAAGUUUUCUUCUACCAAUACAACAGCAACAAACUAUUCUGUGUCUCGGGCAGCCACACUAAAUGUGGUUGGCUCCCACUGCCCACGUUUUUUUACUGAUGCUCAGUUUAUCUGUUCUGAGCUUCGGUAUAAAUCAUGCCAGUCUCCAGAGGGAGGACCUGCUACUUCUAAAAUAUAUAGGGUGACCGUAGAUCCUCUGUUACCCAGACAUGUCCUCUUUUCUGGGGGCUGUCCGGCCUUGUCCGGGUUGAGUUUAUAAAAUCCCUCAAACGUCUGGAGUUUUGUAUGGAGGUUUCGAGUUUGUGUCGCAUGGACUUACUGAGUUAGACGCACGUGAAAGACACCCUAUCCAACCCGAAAAACUCUCAAAAUUAACUACCCACGACUCCCUGGCCCUUCCCCUGUGUAGCCCUAUCCUCUUUUGCCGAUCCAGAAUAUGGUCACCCUAAAAAUAUAGGACUAUUACUAAGUUAUCAGAUAUGAAAUGAUUGUGAUGUUCAAUGCAAUUUAAAGUCCCACUCAGAUCAAUUUUUUUAACAACUUAAAGUGUUCUCAGUUGUCUUUAAAUUGUGAUUAUGGUGUUUUUUUUAGCCAAAACCACGUUACCUGUGUCAUUAUCGAGAGCUUUUCUUCGUACACACUGGUUCCGCGAUCGUCCUGUCUUCUUCUUCAAGUGUUGCUUGCAUUGCAGGGCUCUGGGGGCGGGGCUUGGAUUUGUGAUAUAGGAAAUCUCACUGUGUCUGAACCUGCCGUGUGGGUCGGUGAGAGGUUCCCAGCGAUUUGAAUGCAGAAAUACUCUUAAAUGCAAUUUUGAUCAUCAUUUUCUCAUAUGUCCUGUAGCAUCAGAAAAAUGCCUUAUGAACAUGUAGACAACAAUAAAAACAUGAUUUUCAUCAGAGUGGCACUUUAGACUAGUUUAGCAUAUUUCUGCAUAAUACAUUUCCUCUUCUUUGGAAAAAUGCAGCUAAAUUCCACGCACGUUAUUUAAAAUUUACUGCUUUGUCUGAAGUAUCAGUGAAAGUUGGAGUGGCUGCAAACCUUACAGAUGGUGGGCAAUGACAGCUGAAAAAGGUGGACAUUUUAGAUUUAAUUCUGACACCAACAUGUCAGUGGACGAGGUCUUUUGACACAGUGAGGCGGAUGGAAACAGGAGCCUGCAGAGAGAAGAAAAUAAGUGGACUAGUAUUUUCGGGAUGACGACUGACUACUGACUGGGUUUGUUUGUAGCUUUUGUUUUCCCAUUUUCCCUGAGGCAUCCUCAUUACUUUUUUUUUUUUUACCCUACAGUAUCUGGCUGGUGUAGUGCUUGCAGGAAAUAAUGAAAUUCCUUGCAACAUGUUGGAAAGGACACCUUUCCUUCCCUGCGAAAGCGUGAGAAAUGUUAAUCCUCACUCACAGAGGGAGCUUUUUGGCCUCAGACAGAGAGCAGUAGCCCAACGUCAGAGUCAUUGAAAAUGGCUGGUGUGCUGCCAAGUAUUGAAAAGGAAAGUCGGCUCAUUUGUUCUUGAAGAAGUGGAAAGUCUGCUUUUUUUAUUGUGUUUUCGGACAAAACUUAAAAUAAAUGGUAGGUCUGAAAGUUAAUAGAGACAGUGGGUGUGGUUACCAUUGGAUGAAUACCAAAAGGGGUCAAGAUGUGUAAUGAUGAAAUCUGAGGGCCCAAAUUUACAAGUUGGAGAUAAACAAGCCAAGGACUAAAUCAAUGCUCAAAUUAACAGGCUUACAGUCCAGCAGGAUAAGACAGCUCAACAAGCAAACACACCCAGAGAGCCAGGUCAUAAAGAGGCAGCUGGUCAAAGCACAGGCAGAAGCAAUGUCAAGAAGAUAAUCAGCGAGAGGAGAAAACAAUCGCUGAAAAGACAAGUGAACAAAGCAGAGAGUGAGAUAAACCGGCAAAAAAGUGGUAAACUGGCUCUGUACACUUAAAAAACUGAUGGGAAAAUAAGAGGUGGUGUGUUUGUGAGGGAGGCUGCCAGACAAGCAAGUGGACAGAUGGAGAAUUUAAAGUCCUGGAAACAAAAUCAGCCGAGCAAGAGAGUUGAAGUGGACAGUUUUAAGAUUUGGGACCAUGGUGGUUCGACAUUCAAGCCAGUUUGCCUCAUAACCCUUACAGAAACUUUUUUAAGGUUUUAAUAUGUUUCAUCCAUCAUUGACUAAAAAGAGCGCAAAGUGCUCAGCAUAUGCAAAAGUCUCAAGAGCGAAAGAAGAAUGAUAAAGUCGGUGCUGCGAAAAGAAACUAUGAGAGAUAAGAAAAAAAAUUGUUGAGCUCUGGCAGCAGCAUCCCGCUUUCAUGAUGUGUUGUCAAGGACUUUGACAGGAUGAAAAAAGGACAGUGAUGGAGAGAAAUAGCAGAGGCACUUCAGCAGCCCAGUGAGUGUUACAGGUGAUGUCUAGCCCAGCUCCUCUUCCUUCCAAUGUCAUCAUGUUGUCCAUCAUGUCUGUGGCACAAACUUGACCCUGUGCUGGUCUUACCUGAUUCAAUGACUGUUGUAGUCAUUGAAAAAUGUCAAUAAAAUACUAAGUAGAUAGAAUUGGUGAAAAAAUCAAAGAGGGUGGGUCUUUAAUGAAGCUCAGUCCACACAACCUACUUCUUAUAUUAUCAACCUCUGAUAUUUUCCGCUCUUAAUUACAUAAUCAUGGAGAGUUUCCUCUUAAUCCACUGAAGACCUGAAUUUAAGAUGUAAACUUAAAGCUCCCAUGAGGAACUUUUGAUUUGCAUCAAUUUUGGCGUCUCCUGUGGACAAAAUAGUCUUUGCUUACAUUGGCCUCUACAUGCUGCCCAAAAAAUCAUCACUGUUGUUGCUAAUUUAGUUUUCGUUUUUGUCAAUUUGGGAUUGAUAUGAAAUUGAUUUAUUUUGCUUAAGCCAUUUUACUUUAGCUUGCAGCACCGUACGGCUUCCUGUUUACUGUCGGCUUCUCAUCAUCAUUCUACCUGGCAAAAUGACGGCGAAAGUUGGGAGAAAGAGUCGGAUAUGAAAUUUCUUAAAAAACGACAGUGAGAAAGAUUAAAGCAAGUGCCUCGUAGUGGAACCUGGUGAUAAAAUAUGUGGAAUACUUCUCAAGGGAAAAAAACUCGAACGCUAAUCGUGAGUACCCCGACGAAGUGGCCUCUUUGAGUAGCUUCCCUGAAGGAGAAGCAAUAUCCCCGCCAGGAGAUCGCACUGAGAAGCAGGAGACAACUAUUAUAGACUGUUUUCACAGACGACGUAAUCGAUGCUGGUUAGUAAACAAGCAUGUCUACAAGACUCUGCUGAUUGCCGUCGAAGAUUUUAGCUUUUUACUCGAGCCAAAAUACAAAUCACCCAGUGCUGCACGGGUGAAUAAUCACUCAACGCUGAUCCUGAGCCAGGAGGUUUAGAUGCUUCACCUCAACAUAGCCAACCUACCAGAGAGAGCAGCAGAUACACCGGCAUAAAUAGCUAAAAAACCAACACAAUAAGAUAAAAUGUGGUAAAGGCGACUCCUUAAGCCAGAGAAGCUUUCCACUGCCUCACUAAAAUGCAGCAGGUGUCUUUAAUGGAAGAAAGACAGCUGAGCACACACUGCCACACUGAGCAGAUCCAACAUAGCCUUUUGCAAGCAACACACAGCACAAACAGGCAGUGAGUGUAAUGAUGCAGCCACAGACGGGCUUCUCAGCAGUCAGUGGUUGUGACGAUGCUGAGUGUGUGUCAGGGAAAAGGUUGGUUAUAUGACAGGGAGAAUAGAUUGCCUUUGAGUUUGGGGUUUGAAGAUUUUUCAGUUCUGAGGAAUUAGCUGGAGGAGGUUGGCUCCAGAUUUAUGGAGCUUGGCAGGAAAAUGCUCAGCACCUCCUUAUUUUUCUUCUUGAUUUCUUUAGACAGCGAGAAAAAUGAGACCCCCUCCGGACAUGAGGGGAAGGAGAGGUCAGAUAAAUAGGCUGCUAAGCACUUGCAAUGAUUUACACAUUACCGAGGCUGUUUAAAGUGAAAUCCAACUUGAUUUUUUUGGGUAAAGGUGCUUACUGCAAGUACAAAUAAUAGUCCUGAACCUCAUGAACUGGCUUAAGUAAAUCAUUAUUCACAGAUAGAGUCAUUUCACUUCCAGCAAAAGUUACUUAGAGUGUGGUUGAAAACUCAGCAGUGAUUUCCACAGGGAUGCAAUGACAGCAAGAAGAUUUACAGUAAGAAACAUACUUUGUCACAAUACUUCCUGACUGAUCCGAUCAAUUUGAUCAGGUUAAAUGCCAUUGUGAUUCACUUUGGAAAGGUUUGGGGAAGUCAAUAAUGUAUUAUGAUAGAAAUAUUAAAUAUUUUACAGUCAUAGUGGCUUCUUCGUCAUUAGAAUUCCCACCUGCCAAGUGCUUAAGAUCUUCCUAUUGUCAACAACUCUGACGGCACACCAAACGCGAGUAAAAUCAUCUACUCACUAAAUUCACGCAAAUCUAGACACGUGGAUGAAGAGCAUUUACUCGCUUCAUUUGCAUGUCAAUGGUAAAUUCAACGGUAAUCCCUGCCAAUUCAACCAGGGGGAACAAGUGAUGGACAAAGGUUUUUAACAAUUUACCAGGUAAUCCGACCUCCUCACUCACUUGCCUCCAGGUGAGCUCCUUUUUAUUCUGGUUUCGGUAAUUGAAAGAAAAAGUAUCAUAUAAUUUGGGGCACCAACAGACCAACACAAACAGUUUGUUCUCCAUUUUAGAUACCAGUGAAUAAUCGUCCAUUUUCAUACGUCACCCGGCAACCUUUGUGCUGAUUAGUUAUUGCGACGCAAAUAUCCACUCAAGUUAAGACAUUUGCAGCUCAUGCCCAAUUUGCAUCAUUCAUGCGUCGCCAGAGUAGUAGGAGCAUCUAGUCACGCCUUUGUAUUGACUUAGCAUGUAAUUCAUUAAGGCGAAUGAUUUUACUCGAGCUUGGUGUGUGGAGACAGUGAGGCUUCUUCUCAGAAUCCAGGAACUGCCCAAGACCUGUCUGCUUCUCAACCUGAAGCAUGGCUCACAUCUGUCCUUGUUUCUGUAUUCUAGGCUCAAGUACAGCUCACACUUGUUUCCACUUCCUUUGGACGACACAAUAUAUCCCUAUUGAUUCCUUCUCUAACCCAGAUCCAUCAUCCAUCAUCCCUGAGGGUCACAGGUUGUCUCUCCCAAGGCCCACGCCUCCAUGGACCAGCCAGCAGCAUUUUCCAUGAAUCUGCUGCAGUGCUCUUUGUCCUGAGCUGCAGGUAGUCCCCCAGUGCAGAACUGUGGUUCUUGCUCAGCUCUCUCUUUGUGCAUUCUUCCUCUACCCUCCUUUGACCUAUGGCCAAAUCACCAGUUGCCACAUGGGCCAGCCUCAAGGUAGACUUUCAGAGUUUUUCUGUCACUCCUGGCAACCACCUUUCCAUUUACCAGAACAUAUCGCUCUUCCCCUGCUCUGUCCUCGGGCUGUCUGCCAAAGGGUUACUGCUCUGCCUCUGCUCCACCAAACAACAUCUGCCUGUUUAGUCCUUGUCCAGUCUUCUGUCUGUUUGUUUGAUAUCUCUUGAUCUGUUCAUCCUAAAACCCCCAAAACAACCUUGCUUCUAGAAUUUGUCGCUUAAUGUGAUGAUAAUGGAAGAGGUCUUUGAAUGGUUUCUAAGGUCCUUGACCUUCUUUUAUCAACACACCACUCGCUCUCCAACUUCCCUUUCUUUCAGAUGCUGCCACAUAAAGCCCUGCAACAUCCCUGCAAUCAAUGACUCCCUUUUACUUAAGCUUUUAAAUUAUCUCCUCAAAUACAGUUAAGUGUUUCAUCAGCUUAUACCACUGUUUAUCCAUCAAGGUCCUCCAUCAGUUCAUCUCUGUUUCUGGGUAAAAGACUUAUUGUCAGCCAGUGUCUCAGCGCAGCAAGUUCAGCAAGUGAGAUAAGAUAAGAUAAGAUAAACCUUUAUUCAUCCCAGAGUGGGGAAAUGUGCAGUGUUACAGCAGCAAAGGUUCAGCACAGCAAACAUAGAAGAAUAAGUACACUCAACAUGAACACAGAUAAGUAACUUUAGAGACCGUGUACAAGCAGACUAAACAAACUUGCAUGUAAUUUUAACCACAUGUAAAAUGUAUCACUCGCCACUUGUGUUUUGGAGCAUACGAGUAUGACUGGUGAGUAGAGAUGUGACGUUUGCGAACAAGUCAGUCAUUUGAACGGCUCUUUGAAGUAAACGAGAACCAGUACACAGUUGCGAGCCAUUCUUGUAUGCAGAUUGCCCACGCUGCCUUUAUGUGUCAUCUGUGUGCCCCAAACACCAGGUAGGGUAGUACAAUUUUGCAUUCACAUUUUUCCCGUCUUUAUUUUUUAUCACUUUUUAUUGCUUUAUCACAGUCUUUUAAACGGCUUUUCAAAAGGAACGGCACCUCAAGAUCCAGCUCCUCUUAAAAAGCCGUAAAUCCCAUCGCCAGUGAGACUGGUGAACUCCUGUCUCAUACUUACAAAAAAAAGUCUUGCUGGUACAUGUCUAGGUGUGUCUGGCACACACAAACUACAUAUCAUGUUGUAGUAUGAAUGGUAUGAUAUCAUAUUAUCACAAACAGCCCCUAGUCUUUGCUAUGCCUGUAGUGCACACAACGCAGAUAUUUCUUUUUCUUCUUUUUUUGUUUGAACUUUUUUAUCAUCUGAAAGGUAAGGUAUAUCAUAUAUUUUUACUUGUCUAAACAUGAUUCUGAUGUACGAUAGUUUUGUCCAGGAAAGUCCUCCAUAGAAAAACUGCUCAAUUUGUGCUCCAUAAGUUAAGAUAAACCUUCAACAUGUAUGUUGCCUAGAGCAGCACAAUAUAUAGCACAUCUCAUAUGACUUUUUUUGUUGGGUUGAUUUUUCUUUGCUUGAUUUUGUUUUUAAUUUGUUAUAUAUCUAAAUCAUACAGUAUCAAGUGCACGACUGGAGAUACAACACUCCCUAGCACAAGUGAAAAACCAUCAUUUAAUCUACUUAAAAAACUGCAAUUGCAGUCAUUUUACUCUGCUAAAGAGACAGUAAAACACUAAAGCCCCGUUUAUACGUAUCCAGUUAUUUUUAAAAACGGCGACAUUAACCAUCGUUCGCUCCAUUUAUUUAGACGCGAACAGAGAAUUCACCCCUGUAAACGAUGCUGUUUAAGAAACUCCGGCCAAAGUGGAGAUUUUGAAAAACUCCGUUUGCAUGUUUGCAUGUAAACGGAGAGAAACAGAGAAAAACAGAGGUAACUGAGAUUUGGGUAGCCGACGGCAGAUUGUGCGCUGAGAGAAGGAAGUGACUCUGUUGUUGUUGUUGUUGUUGCUGCUGCUAUGCAGGAUUCUGAUUGGCUAACGUGGGCUUGAGCUUCUCGCUACAGGUUUGGCAUGCUCUUGAAAGUGUAUAUACAGGGGUUCAGUCUAUGGUGUAAAUGAAAAUGUAGUGGUGUGCAUGCAGUUUUUUUGUUGUUGUCUGUAAACGGAGAGGGUGAAAUGUCCGUUGAUGAAAAUAGCCAGGCACAUGUAAACAUAGUCCUAAUGUUACAGAUAAAAUACAGAUAUAAAGGUGCAGAUGCCUACAUUUGGACGUAAAGGAUAUACUGUUGCAUCUGUGUGGUUGUACAUUAUUUAACAGUGACUUUAUUUGUUAUGUAAAGCCUUAUUCAAUGCCACUUAUGCUAAACGAGAGCUCUAUUAGGACCAGAUGGAAGAAGCAAUAAAAGACCCUGAGAGCUGACAAGUGUGCAUGCAGAGACAUCAAUAUCACACGUUUAAGAUCUGACAUGAAAUAACAAUGUUUAUUAAAGGGGUUUUAAAUGUAAAACACAAUGCAGAACACCAAAUAGUACAUCAAUCAUUUCAUGCAAAAGAAUCAGCCGAAAACUUUUGAUUGAAAACCUGAAUUGUUCUCAGUGGGAGAUCGACUAAAACAAGGGAGUCAAAAUAUGCAAAAUAUGAGCAGAAGCAAAAUAGAGUAUUGCAGGAAAUAUGAGUUUUUGAUGAGAUGAAUCCACGGGUUUUACUGUAUUCAGCCCGGUGGAUCCAGGCAGCAAAGGAUUAUGGAUGGUAAAAAUGAGAGGAUCUAUACAGAGAUGGAUUCUGUAAACGCUCCUGCAGCUUGCACUGGAGUAGAAGAUUUUACUGAAGCAAGAAAAGGGGGGCCGCUGCUAUAACAGUAAGAUACAAAUCUGCAGGAAUGAUGCACAAAUGCUUUAUUGUGGGGGAGGCAGCUAAACAUACAGGACCAUCUCAGGGAGAAAUGAAUGACAAAGUCAGGAAUGUUCUGUGAUAGUAUCCCUCUGAAAUGUGUUAAGCAGGCAGUUAAAGUGGGACACAGGGGAGAGACGUGGAUCAGUAACACCCUGUUUGUCUGCGAGGAAGAACAAAUAAUGAUCAUAAUGAAUAAAUAUGAGCAACACCAGCGCAAAUGUAACAGCAGCUUCUGCCAAGCGCCGAAGAAGAUAGCUGCAAGAAAACUGCAUAUGUAAGUAAAUAGGCUUAUCACUGCCAGGUCAUUAAAGCUCUAUGGGGAUUUUUUUUAUUAAUACAGUAUGAUGUCUUCACACUGAGACGGUGGCAAGACUUUACAAUCACAAAGGUUUUCUUUGCUCUGUGUCCCCUAAAGGCUGCAUUGAUGUGAAAAUGAGCUCUUUCAGUUUCUCUUUGGACUCAGAUGAAGGAAUUUCAAAACACUUAACACUCAAAAGCGCAUUUCAUUGGGUAAAUAUAUUUAACUCUUACAACUCUCCUUCGUACUCGUUUAUAUGACUUUGGGAACAUCAAGGCCCCGAUUUUUAUUUGCACGGUUUAUGGCACUUCAUGUGUUAUGAUUCCCACAGCCUGAGCGGGUUAGCGCAGCUUCAAACUCAGUCGCUGUCUUGAGACUGAAAAGCCACAGCUAAACCCAACUUUAGUUUUGUGACCCGCUAAUCCUGCUUCAUGAGAAAAAGACCCUUAAAAACAAAAUCUUAAUGUCACAUCUUAUCCCAGAAGCCUUCGCCUGCCACACUCCUUUUCAAGUAAGCUCCUUCAUGUAGCGGCUUGUAGAGCAAAGUGGAGCUGGUGAACAGAAAAUAAGCUCUUUUCCUCUUUCAUAGCCCACACUUAUAGUCAUGUGUGCUUUAUGUAAAUGUUUACAAACUGCGGGUGCAAAUUAAAAUUUAACAGCUUGGAGUUUAUGUACAUAAAUAAAUUCAGCAAGAUGCCUGUGGAAGGAUUUAAAUGGAUUGGAAAUUUUGCCACAGGAAGAGUUCAGUAAAACAGUAAAAUAAGACCAAUGAAUAAACAACAUCAAGUAGAGCUACUUUGGUCACAAGAGAAAUGGUACAGAGAUAGACCAUCACAGAAAUAAAUGUCACUUUUUCCGAUUUGCACCCCAAAUCCAUCAUUUACAUUUACAGGGAAACUGUUGGCCUAAAGAAAAAUACAAUUUAUCCUUCACUCCAAAUUAUAUCCAACUGAACAUUUCAGUUUAAGUGACAGGGAAACCUCCUCCACAGUUGUCACAAUAAACAAUGGCUUCUAGAGGUAAUACCUCACUGACCUCUACCUCAACUUCUUCGUAGCACAAAGUCUUCUCUGUUUCUUUAUCAGUUCACACAGACUCAUACUCUGUCCUCAUUAACAUACCAGAGUGCCUGAGACACGUGGGAUACAUCUGAUCUACUCUAAUCUGGCUAUGUGCAGGUGUAGUAACAUGAUACGCAUCAGAUAAGCGUGUUGGCAUCACAGGUGGUCGUAUCAAACACAAGUGAGUCACAGUAUGUUGGAGAGCAUGGGAGGUGAAUGUUUGUGGAGGAGAAUUCAAAGGGGUCGCUCUGAAACAUACUCUUAUCUGCUCUUGUGAAUUUGACUUUUACCACUGAUAAGUUAAAUACAUGUCAUCAUGAUGCUGAAAAGGGAAUCGUAUCUGUUUUGUUCAGCUGUUUAUUUAAAAUCCAAAAACAUCUAGUGUAAAAUUACAGCAAAUAUCGACCUUACUGUUCCAGCAGCUAUAGUCAAAAACUCCUUACCACCUGAGCUGAGCCAGCAAUAGCACAUUAAGAAUAAUAAAAUUUAUCCUUAACAUUAUAAAAAAUGUAAAUAGUUUAUCUAGAUGAUAUCCAACCUUUCCAUUUUGGAUUAAAUAACCUAUGAAUGAAACUUUAAUAAUCAUAAUGGAAAUCCAGCAAACAUACUCUUAAUAAUAUUGGCAUGUUAGCAUCAUUAUUGUGAGUUUAUUAGCAUCACUGUUAUUCGUAUGACGCUCACGGUGCUGCUGUGCAAUCUGUAAUAUGGUUGGUAUGAAUCAAAGUUGAAAUAUAACAAAGUGGGGAUUUCUACAUGGGAGUUUUACUCUACUGUGCUUAAGAUUGAUCCUAAAAUGCCAGAUCUCCACAUUACUAGAUCCACGAAUCAUUCAUGAGUGGUUCUGUAGAACAUGGGAAUAACUAUAAACUGAAUAUCAGAAGUAGACGCCAUAUUUAAGUGCUUCCGGACCGUGGUGGAACAUGACUUUUUUGAGAAGGGUGGCCACAGACCUUUGUUGGGGUGUCCAGGUGUGAUGACCUGAUAGGCUUACCCCAAACUGAGGAGGAUCAUCCUCAUUUAUCUACCUAAACUUUCACCAGAAUCCAAAAAAAGUUCCACUCUUGUACACAAUUUUUAACUUUCGGAGGGAACUUCACAAUGUGCUAACAUUUACAUCUUCUGAGCCCAGAUUUUUAAAGAGAGGAGUCAACCUUUACAUAAAUAACAAAUGAAAAUGCUCCAUGUUGAAAUGAAAACAAACUACAAGCAGCAGGUGGAUACACAACGCAAAUAGCUGAUUUCAAUACAUUUGCCGGUGUGGGUACCAGAUGUGUUUGGACUGCCAGAUCAGCUCAGGGCCCAGUGCCUGUUGAAGAUGUCACACUACGGCAAGUCCACUCGGACAAAAUACACUGCACUCCAUUCAAUAAGUCAAAUGUGCUCGGUUAGAAACCCCUAGCAGUUUUCUUUAUUUCUGUUUGCUCAAGAAAUUCACCUUGAAAGUUUCUCUCGACAUAAUACAACUUCCUUUAUUAUAUUUUUUUGGAUGGCUUUAAUUGUAAAUGUUAACUUUCCUUAAGGAAAAAGAAAAAAUAAUGUAUGCAGGAUCUUCGUUUAUCAAUAGAUAUUUUUGCUUUUAGUCUACAUUUCCUUUGGCCACCUAAAAGAGGCGGGUGUCUGACUGUCGUAGGUCCCCUUUGAUAAGUAGCAAUAAAUCGCUUCGUAAAAUUCGAAGAACGACAAUCCCAUGAAACCUAAUCUGCCGGAAACCGCUUCUGUAAUGUCCGAACCAACCAGAAUCUUCUAUGUCAUCCGAACCAACUUUCAGCCAAUCAAAUAGCGCUGUGUCAUCAACAGAUUUGCCAGCCCGAACACAUCUGGUAUCUUCAUCAGCUCUGAUAAACGAAACUUGAUUUAAAAAGAUGAUUGACAGCUCUCCUAACAAUUUGGACACCUGCUGCAUUCAGUACCAGACUAGCAAAGAGGAAGAACAGCAAGAAAAAGCAAGAGUCAUUAAAUUUUCCAUAGCCAUAAGCGUCUGCUUCAGAACAACACAAGAAUCUGUUCUGCUGUGGGCUGUUCCGACCUGAGGGACUUUUAAUGUUUUAUCAGUACUUUAAAAGGGUCUUUUGGUUAGUGUGACGUCAGUCCUGUGACUCCACCAGCCGGGUUUCUUCUACGCAUGCCUUGGCUCCACCAGCGCAGAAUGUCAGAGCACACCGAGGGAUAUUUCGGAUACUAAGGCAGCCUGUUUAUAUACAGCGCAGCAUCUCUGAGGAUAACAUCCUCUUUUUAUCUAAAGGACAAAACAGGAGGCACCACCCUAUGACACUAUUUGGGUCUGCAGUGAAAUUACAUUAAUUGACUUCAACUAUAGCAAUAAGCACAGCCUAAUAAAGCUGCUGGAAUAGCUGUGAACUCUAGUAACCUGCACACAGUAAUAACCAUGUUUAAUUAGACCAAAUGAUUACAGACACUCAGUAAAUAAGGGCCUGUAGGAGGGAUGGUGAGCUGUACGUGCGAAUUAUUGUAGUAUUUUCUCAAAAGAAGAGACAGACAGAGCAAACUUUAUAAAGACGAUCUGAUUCCAGACGCAAAGUUCAAAGAUAGAUGAUGUUUUCCUCUUCGUGUCUUACUGGUGGGAUUUGCUGCUCUUUUUAUUCGAGUUGUGCAUCUGUGAGGGCUUGUGCUCAAAGCCCUUCUGCUCUUUCUUCUCCCUGAGCCCAGGAUAAGAUAGAACAGGACCUGCUGUCUAAAGCUGGCCUCUUUUGAGGCACUUUGGCUCCUUGCCUACAUGCAGUGCUGACCUGGAAAUGAAAAGCAUAAAGUGAGGGCUCUGGAAGGAUGACAGAGCUGUGUCCCCGUCUGCCUGACAGAGCUGAUCUUUAAUGCUGCUUCGCCUCUUCUGAGCUGUCAAUCUGCUCUCCCUCAGACCCAUAACUGGCUGUUCUCGCCUUCUUCUAAUUACGUCUCUUAAGCUUAAGUUUGUCAUAACAUAUUGGUGCAUGGCGUCGUGGCAGUUAUGAGCCUGGACAGCCUCGACUUCUCUGACAGCUCGGUACUCUCCGAGCUUAUGCCUCGGAUGGCCCACGGUGAAAUUGAAGAUUCUUUUUCUUGAUCCUUGUCCAUAUUUCAGCAACAUACUUAGCAGUGGAAAGGACAGAAUAGUAAGACCUCCUCCUACAUCAUCCCGAGGUGUCAGCUUAGAUGUCAUGUUUUGCAGAGUAUGGCUGCACCUCUUGCAUUCGGGAAUCAGUUUCUUCUUGAAUAUACUUUCAUGCUAGCAGGGGUUUAAUAUUGUAUUAAGCUGAGAUGGGGAUGGGUGUCGUUAGCAUGCAGAGGAUGAAGCUCGCAAUAACUGGCUUAUUAGAUAUAGGUGAGUAAAUACAAAGAUAUUUUGGCAGAUAAUUGAGCAGCAGGGUGUGCCAUACGGAAACUUCAACAGAGCCAGUUGCUGAUUUUUGCAGCUCACGAGCCCUUCAAUUACUGCAGAAAAAUUUUAAUAUAGAAACUGCUUUUCUCAGCCGCCAGAAAUUAGAAAGUCGGAGUCAACUAAUUAAUUGGGGCAGGCAGGACCUGUCUCUCUGAAUUGACAUUAUGUCGCACAGAUUGCAUGCAGAUUACAGAGCAUCCACCCGCUAAUGACCUGCUGAAAUAUCAGAGAGUUGAGCCCCCUGAAAACACACAGAGGUGUCUGAAGUAUUUAAUAUCCGUCUUGAAAGGGAUGAACAAAAAACUGCCAAAAACACAGUAAUUCCUCUCCACGGGAACGAAGACUGAGAUCUUCAAAAAUACAAAGAGAAUUGAAAAAUGGUGACAAUGUGAAAACCACUGUGGUAAUCAUUGGCUUUUGUUCACUUUUGAAGGAUAGUGAGUUCAGUUUUGUAGCAUUUCAGGUUGAGUGGGGUUAGUGGUGUCAUAUCAAGGGUUCCCUCUUAAUGGUCUGAUUGCCCAGCAUAUAUAAUGAUUGGCUAUUUCCCCAUUCAGAGGAGAGACUUAAAGGUAGAGUUGGUAAUCAUGGCAAACUAGCAUGAAUUUGAAUGUAGCAUCUCCUUAGGACUUCGUCUAGCCGCUCCCCCCGUCCCCUUGGCGCUCCUCCGAAACCCCGCCCCCGCUCACAUACAUGAGCUCUGCUGUCUGCUGAUUCAAAACCACAGACUCAAAACUUUGGGACUUUAGAUUGGGAAGUCUUUGCACAGCAGGGACAAAGAAGGUAACGUUAGCAUCGGGAUGACCACAUAACUAGCAACAUGGCUAAAUACUUGAUCAAGAUUAAAAAUCACCCUGAAACAAAACCCUCACCGUAUCUUUAACAGAAAAUGAGUGACCAUGGCAUCAUCCUUAAAGCCCUUGACAUCUUUCAGUUCUCUUCAUCGCUAAAAAACUGUCCCGAUGUUGACUUUAGUUUUCGCCUUGCUUUCUUCAAACUCUGUCUUGCUUUGGCCAUCUCUGCCUCCGUCUUUCUUUUCUUUCUCUUUUUUGCAGGAGGAGCGGUCACCGUUAAUCUGGGUAUAGGUAGUUUCUCUGUCAUUCUCCAGUGUAGCUGUAUCCCUCUCAGCUUGGCUAUGCGUGUUAAGUCGGGGCCAGUCCACGCAGGAGGCAAGCUCGGGAUUUGAUUGGUUUAAAAAUGUGGGACCCACACAAUGUGAUUGGUUGGUGUUUUCCGAGUUUUGCUCCUGCUGUAGAUCGUGGCUAUGUUUCGCUCUUUUUUAAGAACACAUCAUGUAUCGAUUGCCAUCAGAACAUGAAGAUCAUUUUAACCAGAAUAACAAAAAGUGCAUCUAAAUCAGAUUCCCAACCCUACCUUUAACUUUAAACUAACUCAAGAAUUUUGUUGCGGCAAGAGUGCUUGUCAUUUUUGUUGGUACUUUUCUACACGGCUAUUGGAGAUUAACACUUUUAAUGUGUCCUUAAAGAGUUGAUGAUUUGGCUACGGCUGCUUUUUUAGUUAAGAAAUGUUUACACAGUGUGCACAUAUCUCAUACCAGCCCUUGAUUAGUGAGUGCCUCAGUUGCACUGCAUCAUUAAAAAUUUGUGAACAUAGCCUUGUUGACUAGAAUAUGGUCUUUAAAAAAGUUAGCUUGACAGACUAGAGUCCUUGACAUACGAGUUGGUAAUGAUUAAUCUGAAAGUUGCCUAUCCAUCUACCCAGAAAAGCUGUCCACAUGUUUUCUUGACAUUAUUCCAACUAAACUCCUUUAAAAAGUUACAGCUACUGUGGACUAUUGUAUUAUCAAAAAUAUACAUAGCUCCCUAAACACUGGUCAUGUCCACUCACUUUAAGAAAAGCAGAAUUCAGAUCCUUUACUUCUCAACAAUUACAUGCCCAUCUCAAAACUCCCAUUUCUUUCCAAAAUUCUAGGAAAAGUCAUAUUUUAUCAAGUCCCAUCUGACCCAAGACUGCAUAUUUAAAAAAAAAUCCAAUCUGGUUUCAGAGCACUUCACAUUCACAGUGCUGAAUCUGCAUUAUUAAAAAUAACUAAUGACCUUCUGUGAGCUGCUGGCUCAGGAAACCGCUCCAUUCUUUUGCUCCUGGAUCUAUCUGCCGCCUUCAAUAUUGUAGAUCAUUGUAUUCUUAAAGACAGGCUACAACAAUAGGCAGGGGUCCUGCUUUAAACUGGUUUUCUUCCUUUUAAUGCAACAAAUCCUUCAGUGUCUCUCAACCUCUUCAUCGGCUCUUAUUCCCCUAUGGUGUCCCCCAGGGUCCCAUUCUUGGACUGAUCCUCAUCUCUGUCUAUUUGCUUCUUCCACUAGGCAGUAUUAUUAAAAUACACUACAUUUCUUUUCACUGGCAUGAAGCUCUCUAUUACUGUCUUAAAGAUAUUAAAUUAUGGAUGGCUGCAAAUUUUCCUCAGCUUAUCGAGAAUUAAACAAAGAUACUUUAAUAAGGUCCUCAGACUUUGACAGUAUUUCACCUCAUCUUGGCCCAUUCACUCCCUCUAAAAAACCUCAAGUGAAAAACCUUGGACUCUGAGGUUAAAAGUAGGUUUCAUACAACUCUGUCUGCACCAUCUCCAAACUGAGAUAUAUUUUAGAUACUUAUGAAUUAUGGAAAAAGUCAUACAUACAUUUAUAUAAGCUGACCUUGACUGUAACAUCUCUUUGUAUUUUGGUAUCAUCCAGUCAUCUUCAUCACGUCUUCAAGUAGUCUAAAAUACAGCAGCUAGAAUUCUGACCACGGACCACAUUACUCCAAUUCUUGCCUCUUUACUCUUCCCAUCAACUACAGAAUCAAUUUUAAAAUCCUUUAGUUUGUUUUUAAGGCAUUAAAUGGACCAGCUCAUUCAUAUAUCACAGAACUCUUGACAGAGAAAUAAGGCCAUCUAACCAAACCCUCCUGUCUGUCCAGAAACCGAGAGCCUUUUUCUAUCAACAAUCAAGAGCUGGAUGGUGACAAAAGUGAUUAUAAUGAAAAGAAACAGAAAUGAGACUGACUGUCAGAAAUGUCACUCUCUCUCUUGUGCCCUUGUCAUGGUAACUACAGCUGAAGGUUUUGUUAUUAGAAACAGACGAAUAUGAAAUGACUGGCGCUGCCUUCAAUACACGCUACUCUGGUUUAAUGGAGCAGCUUAAUAAGCAUGGUAUAGAUCUUCACACAUCGAAUUGUGUAAAAAUAUCCCUCUCAUGACUAAUUCAAACACUCUUCCUGAACAAAAACAAAGACACACGUUUACAAUAUGAUUCGAACCCUUCAUUCAAGUGUUGAAGCGUUCAAGAGGCUGAUAAAUGUUGUAAGAGUUUAAGCAGGAAGAGUUUCCACAUCAGCAGGUCGACCCUCAGUAAACUUACUCUGCAGAUCAUGGGCCGGACUACUGAUAUCAACUGCUUUUCCAUCCUGUGAGUUAUGCAGCGUCUCAGGAUUCAUUUCUAGCUGAAUAUCUGAUAAAACUGUUUGGUUUUCGAUUGCCCGUGUCAUUGUCCUGAUUAUUAACAUUCCUUCACUGUGUUGCUAUCUCAUCCUUGAGCUGAUAAGCUAGUUUUAUUGCCACUGAGGAUUUGUUCUGGGUUUGUCCCGGUUACUGGCUCGUUUAUACUUCAUCUCAUGUGUCUGCAUUUGGGAAAGGACUAUAUAUUCUCCUAUGUCCUCAUUGUAGGCGAUAAAAAUCAUUGCAGUGACUGAAUUCACACGUCAGGCAUCAAUGGAUCUGGUUUUAGACCUUCUGUGGUGUAUGGCUGUCAUGUGAUGAGCCUCAAUAAUAUAUUUAAAUACCCUUGAGGCGUAUCACACAGGAGUAGAUAUGGUGUUGGCUUCUGUUGCUUUGGGAUUACUCUCCACAUCAGGCUUAAUAGGACCAAUCAGUGUGACACUCCCCACAGCUGUCUUUAGAGGCUCAGGAACAACAACAAAUAAAAACACAACACCUUCAAUAAGAUGACUGUGAAAGGGUUAGAUACACUAUUUAAUAAGGGUGCCACGAUUCUACAAAUCCUCGAUUCGAUUUUAGGGUCACGAUUCGAUUCUUUUUCUGACAGCACAGAGGCCUUUGCCAUUUUUAGACUGGUCUAGGCUACGAUCAUUGGUUUUAUUCAUUACAUUUUGUACUGUAGUUGUAACCCUCUAUAAUCCAGAAAAGCGGUGAUUUUCACUGUCCACCAAUUCCUACCGGGUCCGUUUGUGAGGCGAAUUUCUUUGCGGAUUACGGACAGCAGUAAUCGCCACAUAGGCUAACCAUAUACGCAGUAGAUUGUGUCCUUCCAGACAAGGAAAUCUUCUAGACUUCUAAAAUCAGCAUCCUCUCAUCCAUGGUGUCAUCGGGAUGAAAUGCUGUCUAUAAACCUUUCACUUGUUCAUCCCUGCCUGUUUGCAUGGUGUGAAAUAUACAAUCAACCUGAAAACCCAGAGUGUUUUAUUUUGAAAAGAAGUUGGAUGUUUUAUUUUGGGUCUGUGCCCGACUUCCUUUCCAGCAUGGCUUAAUCUGUGCUGAAUUUAUCCAGCAUGCUCCAGCAACUGGAAAAAAUAGUCUUGCGAUCAGCUGCGGAGUCCAGCGAUCCAAGAAAGAAGCUGGUGGAAACUGACAAAUUAACUUGAAUGGUUACGAUCAGCUGUGAUCGGCGGAUACGGCCUUUUCGUAGCAAUUCUGGAUGCAGUGGAAAUGGGGGUGAUGGUAGGCUGGACCAGUGAUGCCGUGUUCCCAGUGGUUAAAUCAACAUCUUUGUGAUGCUGGGGAAUGUGUGCGGCCAUGUUUGUCUUGUUACCCAUAGUCAGGUGAGCUUCAUACACGCAGCAUAGUUCACACACCAUCAUCUUCUUGUCGACAACACGAACAUUGUUGACGUAACUCACCAAACGCCAAGUAUUUCCAUACUUGAGAAUUGUGAGAGGCAGGAGCAGCUUCAAGUUCCGGUAGGGCGUCUCCUUUAUCCGCACUGACCAUGGUGUCAUAAGUGGCGUCGGCUUGUGUCGGUAGUUCAAUGUGCAGCGUUGUCAUUUGCUUCUACUUUUCUCUCUUUGAUUUCGAUUAUCGAGACCAUGAAGUAAUUUCGAUCGAUUGUGAUUAAAAAAAACACAAACUUUCCAACACCUGCAAUAGGCUGCUAGUUCUGUAAACAGUUGAACAGCUCACAUGAUGUUUAAUUCACUUCAUUGUCUAAAUAUUAUUUCUUGAAACUUUAUUGACCUUUUGGCCUUUUCUGAAGAACAAAAAAAGUUAAGUUUUCCGUAACUACCGGCUGGAUUUGCAUUGCAUUUCUUGUGGCUGUUUAUGAAGUCUUGACCUUUUGUGUUACUACGUACAACUACUGCUGUCAGGAGAAGAUGUUCAAAAGUUUCAGAGUAUAUGCCCAAAAUAAAAUACAAUAUCAUGACCUCUUUUGGACACCGUAGCGUGUAACUUCCCUCUGGCAUCAUCCGCAGGUCAAAGUAACAACAUUUACUCACACAGACGCCCCCAGAGAAAAUAAAACCUUUUCUUUUUAUAACAGCCUGUACUCCAGUUUCACCCUGAGACUAAAGCUGACAUGUUAUGCUGCGAAGGGUCAGAGCAAUGGAUGAUCAGAGCUUUCACCUUGCAGGGUCUUAUUUAUUAAAUGCUUUUUUUUAUGUAUUCUAAUGAAGCCACACUUUUUUUGGCUUUGUGAGUAAAACAGAAAAUAUUCGACUAUUGAGAAAAAUGUCAAACUUUUUUUUCCAGGUAGUGAAAACUUGCAUAGCUGUCCCUGCCUGCCCACCUGUCAAUCUUCUUUUCUAUUCAAUGUGUGCAUGCUUGGGCUCAAUUUAAUAUCACAGCUUGAUUUUAGUCUAAUCCAUUCUCACAAAGUAAUCAGAUAUUUCAGCCGUAUACAAAAAGGCUCUGCGGUGACUUUAUUAUGCUCUGUAACACUGCAAACAUAAGGUAGGACUGUGAAUCAUAGAGCAGGUGUGAGAUCGAACUCAGUGUGAUCCUCUUGCGGGUUUUGAUAAAAACAGCUCAGUGUCAGUCACCCAACAAAGAGUCAAGGGAGGUGACUCCCAGGAGUGUUUACUGGACUAUCCAUCUGGAUAUCUUUUUUCCACUGCAGGCUGCUCGGCUCAGACAAAGAAGUAAACACCAACUCCUCUUCCUGCAUGAUGAACACAGCGGGUCAGAGAAGGUGGAAUUGGUUUGAGUAUGCUGUUGGCUUGAAAAUCAAAAGACCAGGCAGGGAAAAUCUAACUCUUUCUGCACUUUUCUAAUCUUCACAAGGCACAAGCCAGGAAUCAACAAACACAGCUUCCUAUUUUCUUGGCCAGAGAAGGUGAGUCAUAGAUAACGAUGAAUAUUAUUAAUGUUUCCACAGCCUCCAAAACUUUUUGGCUUGGUCUGGAAAACUCUUCGGUCUCGGCAGCUUUUAUAAACUCUAUUCCAAAGGAACUCUUUCAAAACCUGAAUUCACUGUUUUUUUGGCUGCUUAGGCUCAACAGGCUGUUUGGUUAACAUGUGGUAAACUUAAAAAGUGGUUCUGGUGUAAUGCAAAUAUGACUUAUGUCUGCAAGCAGCCGACUUUUUACUGAAAACAGAGCAAUGUUGAAAGUUCAUCCAGAGCCGAGCCUCUGACUCACAGAUGAAACCACUCAUUCUCCUCCUCCUUUUUCUGUUUAAGCUUUAUCUAACUCUUUACUAUAUGCUCUGUUGUGUACACCAACUUCUGAAUAUUUUUUCUCUCUUCUGUUUGAUGCCCUUCAGGAAGUGAACAGUGGUUUUUAUAAAACUUGAAGACAGCUGGCAGCUUUAGUUACAAGAAAGAGAGUGAACCAAAACUGCAAGGUUGAGUUCUGCAGCCCACAACAAUACUUGUCACUGACACACUCAGCAAACUGAGGGAAGCUGUUUGUCCGUACAAAACUCCUUCAAACCACAAGCUUCCUUUUCAUCUAUUUUUUGGCCUCUGAGAUGAAUGCAUCCUUCUUUCCUUUGGCCUUGAUGGAUCCAUAAGGUGCAUGCUUUGUGGUCCAGUCCAUCUCAAAUCUCAAUGCAUGCCAAUUUGAAAAGGAGAUGGUACAAUCUCCUGGCCCAGCGCAUACUCUUCAUUUGUUAGCAUUUGGUUUCGACUCGAGCAAAUAGCUGCUAAAGAAAUUCUUUAAAAAUAGGAGAGACAUUGGAAUCUUGUUAAGUCUAGUUGAGCUGAACCCCGGAGUGUUUACCGCCUGGUGCGGUUCGUUUCGGUUGGUUUGAAUGCUGGCAUAGAACUCUGGUGCCGACCAGUCAACCGCUCUCAGGUCCGCCUGGUAGGGCUGGUCUUGGACCGCUAUCCAGUGAACUCUUGAGUGGUUUACUCCUGGUGUGAACCCCAUCUGCACCAAUCACAGGAAGCAGUUUUACACGUCAUUUCCUGUUUUGGUCAGAGGCAAAGUUAUCAAAGUGCGGCUAAUGUCUGGCAGGCAACAAACGUGGAGUUACGAAUUAUUGCCUGUCAUCUUCUGUGAUAUGACCAUUCGAUUGCAGAGCGUCUCCUGCGACGUGCGUGUAUUAAUACAUUAUUUAAUUGUCGCAGUCUUCCCAACCGUUCAUAUGUGUGGUCCGUUAAAGUCUGCUGAUAUGCAGUCCAGAUCGGCACCAACAUAAAAAUGAGCAGAUGAUGCUCCAUGAUGUACUUUAAAAAUUGUGAGGGAUUUGUCAUCUAUCCGCCUAAACUGUAUAAGCAAUCACCGAUGGCUUUUGCUGCCAUGUGACAAUUUUUGGACCGUUUGAGUUUGGCCUUUGUGAACGUGAACCGGACCAGUUGAGAAAUUGCAAUUAUGUGUCAUCAAUGUAUCAUCCUCGCUUUGGUUCGUAUCAGAAAACAGACCUUUUGGUGUGAACACAACCUUAGAUUUAUUUAUUUAUUUUUCUUCGUUUUUAUUUCGUUUUAAUUUAUUAUUUCUUAAACUUCAUUUUAUGUUACUUUGUCUCAAGAUUUUAACCCAGCCUCCGAUGUUUCCUUAUCUUGAAUUUUAAGAUGGCGUUUACUCAGUGCGCAUAUUCCUGUUGUUUACUAAAUGGGGCUCUUUUUAAGUUAAUGUGUUUUAAAACUAACUUCUAUUGUGCUUGGACUGUGGGGUAGGGAUGAAGAGACGGGGAUGGGCUGGGGGGAAAGUCGGGUAUUCUUUCUUUUUUUAUUAUUUUUUUUCCUUCUUCUGUGUAAAUCACUUUUUUUUACUACAUUGCCCUGUAUGAAAAGUGCUUUAAAAAUAAAGAUUGAUUGAUUAAUCAAAAGUAUAAACAUGUUACUCUGCCCAGAAUGCUUCAUGAAGAGUGGAUGAAUCUUAAAGUCAUCACGAUUCUUUCUUGGGAUGUUGGACGUCCAAUCGAUGUUGUGAUUUGUGAAAUUUGGACUGAGUACUGAGCAGCCAGAGCACAGCUGCAUUAAUUAAUAUCUUCAGCUUUAUGGCUAAAAAUAUUAAUUAGUGCAGCUUUGAAGGUAAAAUUGGUAAAACAGACACGUUGCCAACCACUGCUAAUUGAAAGAAUAUUAAAAAAACAUCAGUAAGUUCUUUCGAGAAGUUGUGUGGUUGUGUGCCGAUCAUUUUAAUCUGCUGUUGCAGAACUUUAAAUCAUCCCAGGAAAAGUCGGAGACAAGAAACAUAAUCUAUCUUCUUAGGAGAGCAGCAGAUUAAAAAAAAAUAACUUGCAUUGUAAAGAUUUUAUCACACACAGAACAUAAUGAAAAUCUUCAACCUCUAUUUUCAAUUACAAAGAUACACAGGAAACCUAGAUACCAGCGUUGACUCAAAACUAGUGAACAUACACACAUUUUUUCAGUGCAUUACUAAACCCUUCCAAAAGUGCCAUGUUAAAGUCAAAUGUUUUUUUCCAGAUGACUGCAAAUCCUGCCAAUUCUCUAUUUCUUUUCCAGCUAUUUGUUUCCCCAAAUUAAUUAUCUUUAUUGAGGUAAACUGCCCUGCCUCACUCUCUGUGUGGGGCCUGCCAGGGAUCCCUGGGUGAAUAGGAAAUGGUUUUGGACGGAAAAAAGAAAGCUGGCAGAUAAAAAAAACGAACAAUGGAAUCCCUGAAUGCAAUUAAGCAAAAGAAUUAGAAGUCUCUGCAGUGAAAAAGAAAUGUCCUGCCUCAGUACUUCCUCUCAUUCAAGCAGGGAAGAAGAACUUUGGUGUUGUGAUAAGGUAAAGCCUUUCAUUCCUCUGUGCUCUGAGCUGCGGCUGCCCAAAAACUGAGCAGAAUUUCAGACUUCAUUUCCGUGGAGCCAGUGUGCAUGAUGAUUUUAAGACCAGCUUUUCCUCUCAGCGCUACCACAUUUCCCUCUUGAGACUUCAACUCUCUGUGCAAAAUUGCAUUUUACAAGAUGUUCCACAUGAUCAAAAACUCACCCCAUUUCUUUCAAUUGGACUUUUCUGCUUCAUUUGUUUACGUUGUCUUUCCACCUCCAUCUAUAAUCACUCAGUUUGAUUGCAGAAAGCCCAUACGAGUCAAAAUCACUUGAUGUGAACUGAACAAGUCCCAUAAUGUGUAAUCCUGGUGGAGUAAGUAGUCAACAGAUUUAGACAUGAAACAGUUGUCAUAUUGGGAUGUGGUUAAUUAGUGAGAAUUUGCAGAUUUGAUGUUGCACUGGGAUGUUUCUUCAUUAUAAACACAAAGCCCAGUACAGGGUGUUCAACAGAGACAGACUGCCACAGAAACACUGUCAGAGAUGCAUGUUGGACUGGUUUUCACCACAAAUUACCCCCACAAUAUGAGAUGUAUGUUUUUUUUUUUUUUAUCUAUUUUUGACAGGAAUUUAACAAAGACUGUGAGUGUGAAAUGUUUCCAUGGCAAAUAUCUAGUCAUUAUCUCCAAGAUGUGAGGGAAAUAUUUCAUCACAAACACAGAAGAAGGAAGACAACAAAACAGCUUCAAAACAUUCAAUCUAAUCUUAUCCUUCUCAUUAAGCACUCUCCAGCGUCCUUACAACUAAAUCGCCUUGUAUUUGGUAUAAACCAGGUGUUAAUAUACAGCACACAACUUAUAUGGUACGUGAUCUAUGUGUGGAUCUAUAUGCAGAAAUUAAAAGGUUAUUUUGGUGUCCUGUUCAGUAAUAAAAAUCCUCACAAAAUUUGCCUUUUAGUAUUUAAAGAGGAGCACGAUCUUGCCUCGACUAACAUCACAGAACUUCUUACCCACUUACUGUACAGCUCAGCCCCUCAGAUCCUCACAUCAAGGCCUCUUAAUGAUCCCACUUCUGCAGCAAAACUUUCCGGAGACAGGUCUUUCUCUGUAGCUGCUCCAAGACUCAGGAAGAGUUUACCUCAAAAUGGAAGAAGAUAAAGAGCCGAAUCUCUUGACUCUAUUAAAAGAUGUCCAAGACUGACCCUAUAUGUACUGUUGAUGAAGUUAGGUGCUGUUUUGAGCAUUAUUUGUGGCUUUUUAGUUGAGGUUUGCGUGUGGAGACGUAGACCGCUGUGUAUUGCUAUUGUGCGGUCAUUGCUGAAGUUGGUAUAACUAAAGAAGCAAAGGGUCAGCAACAUUCAUCUCUCGAGGGGGUGUCUAACUCGGUGUGACGGUGUGUUUGACCCUAACUUAAUUUUACGCUGGAAUAUCCCAUUAACCUCUUUACCUAACACAGUGAUUGAAUGUCUGCAUGAAUGAAAACAUAAAAUUCUCCAUUCUUUGUUUGCACUGAUGAACUUCUGCACAUGUGCAUGAACUUAUAUUUUUAAUUUUUGUCUUCUCACUCCUUUCUGUUGGUUGUGAAGCACUUUGGCACAAACCUUUUGUUUAUAAAAGCACUCUGUAAAAUUGGCCUUGACCUUAAGUCAGUUGUACACAUUAAUCUGCAUUACACAGCAAUUUUUUUUAAACACACAAAGUACUGAAUAACCUCUGGAAAACUUUGGAAAGAGGACGAGGGAGCAGUGUUCAGCUUCUGCAUUUUGUUAGUGACAUUCUCUAUGUACUGCAUGUGUAUGAUGGUAAUAUAAAGUUUGUGAUGUACAGCCAAUGUUUAUUUUUAAAUUUUGGGGUAAAACCAGGAGAAUUAACAGUUUUCAGCUUAAAAAAAAGAGACCAUAUGUGAUUACACAUGCAUGCCUGUGGUGUUGUGUGGGCUGCAGGGUGCAAAUAAGGUGUUCAAGGGGAAUAAGCUUAAGGUUAUUUGAUAUCUGAAUGCUUUGUGAGUGUAAACAGAAGACCUUAGAGGAAAAGAAAUCACUUAAAACACCAAGGACUCACACAGAAAUCAAGGUUUCGCAGCUGAACUUGUGCGGUACAGCGAGCUUGCUGAUAGUUGUAAUUUGUUGAAAAGGUUCAAAGUUUAGUAAGUUAGCAUGAGCUCAGAUGUGAGCUGUUUGGAUUGUUACUUUGGAUCUUUGUUUAUAGAGGGUCAUAAAAGUGAUAGAGGGAUAUUCUUUGCUUGAGGGAUGCUAUAAAUAUUUACGACAGAAGAAACAACCUCAUAUUAAAACAUCAAGCUAAAGUCCGGGCACAACUUUGAAAUCCUCUUAACAAAGUUGUGAGGAAACCACAAUGAGGAACCAGCCGUGUCAGGUUUUCAUCUGCGGCUGUCUCUGCUGCUCAUCAUCAUUAAUCUAUCUUACUUUCUUCCUCACUAAGCAGAUGACACAUCUCAAGCGGAGAAGCAGAUGUAUGCGCUGAUUGAUGUGAUUUGUAGAACAGAGGCAUGCCAUGCGUGGAACAUUUUAUCCCUGUUUUGCUCAGUUAGUCAGUCGGUGUAAGACAGAUGUUGUCAGGAUGCCGAGGAUGACUUGACUUUUAAUUAUCUCUUCUUGGCUCCCUCAGUUCUCGUAAUUCAGGAAUAAUGUUGGCAUCAUUUGCUAAGUUUGACUCCCUCUGAGCAUUAAAACAUCUUGUCAUGAAACUUCGAGUGUUGGACUAGACUUUUAAUACUAGUUAAUGUUUUCAAGUACUCGCGCAGAGCUGCUAUGAAAAUUCUCCUUGAGUGGAGUUAUCCAGUUUUGCUCCAAGGUGCAAGAACCACACCUUCGAUUUGAUCAAACCUGGAACAUAAGAGACCUCCUCCUGUUCCAAAGUUGGCCUCACUGCCUUCGCAAUGCAUCCUUUUCAACCCCCUGUGAGACAAAAUAAAAUUGAUCAUUUUCAUUCACGAUCAAGUUAGCCAGCUUGUUAGUCAUUGGCUUCCAAUUUCUUAGGGUAGAGUCAGACAAGGUUAACAGGACUCCUGCAGGAGUAUUAAUGUUGACAUAUCUGUCUUCACUCAGCUCAACUUUUCUGAGCUUUGCAGUUAUAAGUUUAAACAUGAAUAAGGCAAAUGUCACACGUUUGAACAUCGCUGCUUUCAUCAUCUUGACUACCUGUAGUUUAAGUCAGCAACUCAAUAAUGCUCUUACCAGUUCUUCUGCUGUGGCCUGGAUUGUAAGACAGGAUCUACCUUUCCCUUGCAGAGAUGGUUUGGGCCCUGCAGCUCCUAACCCCCAAUUUUCACCGCAUGCAAAAAGGCCAUAUGCGACAAUCGCAGCUGAUCGUUUUCAUGUCAAUUUAAUAUGUCAAUUUCCACCGGAUUCUUUCCGUUCCGUUCAGUGGACUCUGCAGCCGAUCGCCAGAGUUCUAUUUUUUUGGAUGCCGCAUAAAUUCAGCACAGAUUAGCCCGGGUACAGACACAAAAUAAAUCAUCCAGCUUCUUUUCAAAAGAAUACACUUCGUGUUUCAGGCGGAUUGUAUUUCACACCAUGCAAACAGACGGGGACGAACAAGUGAAAGGUUUUUUCACCCCGAUGACACCAUGGAUGAGGAGAUGCUGAUUCAAGUAGUCUAGGAGUAGAUUUCCUCCUCUGGAAGGACACAAUCUACUGCUUAUAUGGUUAUGUGGCUGUCUUUAUAGAGACAACUUCUUGUGGCAUGAUUGCAUGUGACUCUGCGGAUUCUUCUGAGUUCUCGCUGUUCCCGCUGUCCGAAAUCCGCCACGAAAUUUGUUUCACAAACACAUCCGGUAGGAAUUGGCAGACGGUGAAAAUUGCCACCAUUCAGUGACAGAGCCGUUCCGGAUGCGGUGGAAAUCGGGGUCAGUCUUUUCUUAUGUUCAUGCCUUAUAUCCGUCCUUGUUUCUGGACUCUCUCACGACCAAUCCAAACAUGAACCAGACAUUUUUGCCACAGUGUUAAAAGGCGUGAGCCGACAGUUCAGAAUGUCUUUCUUUGGGUUGGUUUAUUAUGACAUGUGAUAGGUUUUACCCUGCUGUAGGACUGAAUCACUGUAGCAGUAAUUUUUUGUCCAAUCAGAAUCAAGUAAGUUCUAAGUACCUCUGAUGACCCCAGUAACAAAAAAAAGGUUUCCUUAUAAAGUGUGAGACAGAUCACAGCAGGGUAGGAAAUCCCAAUUCAAGCUCUUUUUCCUCUGCUGUUCUCAUGAUAUGACCUCAAAAACCGAAUACUAGUGGGUACUACAGUCUUCACCAGCGCAUCCUCUUUGUUCUACCGACGGACACAAACUUCUUUAGCUUGAAAACCCUGGAAAAUUGUCAUAUAGUCCUAGAGUUUAUUCUUCAUGUUAAUUGCUAUUCAUGCGUAUAUUACAUAUAACUUAACCUUGUUUUAAUUUGUAUAUCUGUAAUGAAGAUUUUGGUCACCAACUACAAUAACUUUCAAUUGAAAUAUUUACUUGAUACAUGGGUGAACUAGUUGAGCCAAGUGUUUAUAUAAUAUACAAGUAUAUACGACUACACUCACUCUUAAGAAAAACACAUGCUCCUGCUGGCCAGAAUAUGUGCAAACUUAAACUCUAUACUUGAGAGAAGUAUUUUAAAAAAUCUUCCUCGGUGGUGUCACAUUGCAUCAGAGCCUGUCGAGCACAGUUUCCUAAGCCAGAGGCAAACCUUAAACACAGUAUACCCCACAGCAUUUGACUUUUUACCUUUUUAUGUUUUUUUACCAUAAAAACUACAAAAUAAGUCUCGUAAAAAAACCUUUACAGUUUUGGAAAUCACUUUCAGAACACAUGGUCUUUCAGAAUAAAGCUUAAAAGAAAUCCUUUGUCAGGGUGCUGAGCCUCUAUAACCCACACUCAGAGGAUUAGAGUCUGAGUGUGUGUGUCUUGUUUGCUUUGUGUGUGCGUGCGUGUGUGUGCCUGCGUGCGUGUGUGUGUGUGAAUAGAGGUACAGUCAAGUAAGUGAGACGGUGCGGGUCAUAGGGGUCCACACCUGAACAAAACUGUGUCGGGUCAGACACAGGGUACUGGGCGGUGACGUGCUGCAUGAACAGGCCUUCAGGAGUAUCAGAGCUCACAGGAAGGCAGGUAACACAAGAGCAGGUCUGAUGUUUGAUAGUGGAAACAACCACAGAUGUAGCUGAAAGACCUCCGUGUAGUCUGUUCCAAAUCUUCAAGUCCAGUUGUCUGACAUUUAAAGCAACUGUGAGGAGUUUUUGAUUGGUCAUGUAAAAAAAAUUGAAAAGAGAAUUUUUGUCAUCCAACACCUCUUUUCACAAGGACGAGACUGAAUCAGCAACAUUUGAAGGGUUACCACUUUGUCCACAGGGGGCAUCAUAAUCAACCCAAUGGAAAGUUACUCACAGGAGCUUUAAGGCAUGUUUUUCCUGAUGUUAUCAUUAAAACUGGUUGUCCUUUACUCUAAAUAUGACAAUGACUUGCUUCCAUCACAAUUAAACUAAAGCUAGAUCUGAACUCAGCCACAAAUAAUUACAACUUAUUAUAAUUAUAACUAACAUUGUUGUUAAUAAAAGACAAAGACAAAAUUAUUUAUCAAAACAAAGUGCUAAUUUUGUCCACAUAAUUUAACUCUAAGUUUCUUUAUCCUUUAAUUUCUCUUUUUGUAUUUGUAUUUAUGCUGCUGUAAUUUUGGAAUUUCCCCCCAUGGGACUAUUAAAGGAAUAUUUUAUCUUAUCUUAAUCGACACAGUGGCUUUAAUGCAACACAUACUAAGAUUAUUAUUCUGCAAUAAAAAACAAAAGACUUUUUCAAAAGAUGGGUUUGUGGAUUUUGAAAAUGUAGAAAAAGUUAACUUAAUAAAAACUGACAGAUUAUUAACUUGUUAGAAACACUAAACCCCUGUAUAAAGGUGGUAACGAUGCAGACAGCUGUUCUUUAUAGCUAAAAUUACACCUUAUGUGGUUUCAUAAAGGUUAAUAUAAUUAAGCAGUAAUGAAAGCCAUGUAACAUUACAUGGGCUUAAAGCUGUAGAAAAAACAUUGCAUAUUUCAUGUAGCUGCCUUAUAAAAAUAUGCUGCUUGACUGCAAUAGUCUGCCCUUUUUAAUUUAUAAUAAAGUGAAACAUUUUUACAGCAAAUCUCUCAGGGUUCAGUUUUUAUCGCUUUCGCUGAUUUAUAUUAUAAUUUUGGGCACCAGUGUAAAUCAACAAUCACCCCUCAGCAAAUGAAGUUCCUUAAAGUGGUGGAGAAUCUGUCUGUAUAUCAGACCUACAAGUUUUCCCAUCCACAACAACAACAUGAUGGUGUUCCCUAUCAGCAAUUAUACAUGAACAUAAUAGAUCGUCUAAUGUCCUCUGCAUCUGCUGCCUGUUGGAGAGUGACAAGUUGAUUUAUGGGACUUGGGGGAACAGUGAAGAAUUAAUGAGGUUGAUAAGAUACUCGCCUCAAGGUCACUGUCCGCUGAUACUCAUACAUCUGCUCUCUGCCUGUAAAUCUGAUGAAUACAUCUUCUGAAAGCCUGACAACUGCCAGCACCAAUAUAUGUCCUCUUUAUGUACGUUUCAAUCUUAUUUAUGAAUGCUUGAAAAGUUUUGAAGCAGAGAGCAGAUACAGAAGUUUUGACUUAUCUAACUCAGCUAUCGAAUGAGUCAGUUGAGACUGUGGUUUGAGUCUGCAAAACAUAAGUCUGUUUUUCUUAGUUUCUAGUACGAAGCCCAGAAGGUGAUUUGAACUUUUUUUUUUUUUCAAUUCGCAUGUGCAAUUUGGUAUCUCACACUUGCAUAUUAUCAUAUUGUACAUGAGAUUGAGUAUCUCCCACUUGUGUUUCAUUAUAACUUACAUGAAAUUUAGAGUAUUGCACUUGCAUCGUAUUAUAUCGUACGUGCAAUUUAUUAUCUCACACUUGCAUUUUAUUAUAUCAUAUGUGCGAUUUAACAUUUCGCACUUGUGUUUUAUUAUAUCAUACAUGCAAUUUAGCAUCUCGCACUUGCAUUAUAUUAUAUCAUAGGUGCGAUUUAGUAUCUUGCAUUUGCGUUUUAUUAUAUCGCACAUGUGAUUAAGUAUCUCGAACGUGCGUCUUAUAUGUAUCUCGUACGUGCCUUUUCAUUUGUAUCUAGCGCAUGUGUUUUUGUAAAUAAUCCUCUGCACGCCUCAUUUGUAAGAGAAGGGGGACAGUGUCAUGGACAGAGAGCUUAUUAUCAACAUUAUCUUUUAUUUAGGUAUGACUCACAAAGAGAUACCUUAUAGCUUCGCCACAUUUGGUAUCGUUUUGAGUAGGAGACACCUCAUCAGGAUCCUUGAAGCUCAGCGACUUUGCCGUCGGUGAUAUUCGGACUUGCAGAAAGUGAUUUAGUUUAUCAUCGAACAGUUAAAUUGCACAUGCAUUUCACUAUAUUGCAGGUACGAUUUAACUGUUUGUUGAUACUGAAGAUACUAAAUCGCACGUGGGAUACACUAAAAUGCCUGUGCGAAUACUAAAAAAAUAUAUUUAAUGUCACCUCCAGGGCUCUGUUUUUUAGUUUUGGCUGAUGCAUAAAAUGAUCACAGCCCCUCUUUAAACAGUCCUCUUUAAACCUGUUGACAUUUUCUUUGCACUCACUGGUCCUUUGACCACGUUGGAGCCCAUACUACGCUCUGUCAUUGUCAGUGUGGUCUUUUAUUCAACUUCUUGCAUAUUUUAUUUCUAAGCCUCAUCUCUUUUUAUUUACUGAUGACUGCUUGGCAAUUAACCACAAAUAAAAAGUUUUGUACUCCUCAGAUAAAUCAUUUUUUAAAAUAUCCUCCAAGUUGCUAACCAAUUUAGAAAGUUAAAGUGAACAAACUUUGUUUUCACAGUGUCAGAAGAAUAACGUGUUUGUGUUAGCUCUUGAUUAGAACAGGACCAAUAAACACAAGCCAAAGAGUUACCUGUUAUGAAAACAGUCUUUGCAGAAUCUUAUCGUCAGGGACAAAAAGGUGUGAAGUUACUGGAUGGUGUCUGACUUUGGUCUUAAAAAAGCUUCUCAUGUUUGAGAGGUAUAAGAGUGACAAUAUCUGACUACAGUUUAUGCUUACAAUAAUUUCUGUUUACUGAUUUCUGUUUAAUUUUUACAUUUAGACUUAAAGCUUUACAGCAGCAAAAAUUUACUGUAUUGCAGAUAGAUAGAUAGAUAGAUAGAUAGAUGUGGUCCUCCUCUAGAUGUGGUCCUCCUCUGCAGACCCUUUGACCCUUCAUUCUGUGAAUCCACUCAGCAGACCCAUUACUUCUUUUAUUUUGUGCCUCAGGAAACAAGAUUUUAUUUACACCCAAAAUGAAACUGUCCCCGGAGGUCACCACUGAUUCCUUCAGUUUAACAGAGGCACCGGUGGCUGUACAGAUUUCAUUGAUCAGUCUCAGGAAGCUAAGAAGAUCCACCACGCUCAGCGAAAAGCCUCAGACUUGUUCCUGCGGAGGCCAUUAGUUCUCUGAUCAGAGGGAGUUAAGACGGAUGGUCUUUAUCGAGACUGAGACUGUUAAAUAGCGUAGCCUGGGUUUCAUUGAUGGUGCUGCUGAACGUGCCGCAGCUUUGUGAAACACCCGUCGUGACCCAGCAGGGAGCUCAGCGUGGCAACCAAGCAGGCUUCAUUACAUCCCAUUUUCUGACAUAGACACUUAGAUUAGAUGCUGUUGUUUGAGGAAUCCAAUUUAAUUUUACUGCUUUGCCUCAAGGACAAUAUCUCCUCGUUAUAUACUCUACAUGAACGCCUUUGUACUGCUCCUGCAUUGCUGUUGUGAUAAUACUGUCAUAUGUAGUUUUAUUCCCUCUAUUAGAUGCUUUUUUUAUCUAGAAUGAGCCUCCAAUAUCUGCAGGAAUAUCUCCGAGGAGGAAGAAAAAGGUCUAUAAUGUCAUUAUGCAGCAAUCUGAUAUAGCUGCAUACAAGUGUGAGAAUGAUUUAAUUUUUUUUUUCUUUUCAUACUAUCUAAAAAGGCCAGUGUUGGGUUUUGUACUGUAAAUGGAACUUUAAUAACCCACUUGAUUAAAUUCUCAGUCAGGGAUUGAAUGAAGAUUGGAAAAACAGAUCAAGAUAAAUGCACAGGACACUUUCAGGAAAGACUGCUUUAUAUGCAGAAAUUUGCAGGGCAACUUGUGAAAAGUAAUUAAAAAACAAAACAAAACCAAAAAUGUAUAAUUUUCAUUAUCAAUGGCCCGGUCAUUUAAGCUUCUACUUUAUUUAAACACUUUAUAUCAUAAAACAAUACCAGCUAUUAUAAUGAUAACUUCAUAUAAUAACUGCAACAUGAAAAUAUGUUCAUCAAAUGUGGUGUCAUGGAGAUUUUGUAUUGAAGAAACCUUUCAUAAUGAGCAGACCAUAAUCUGUGUAGACAUGAACUGCACUUUCAUAGACUUUCACAGCUCUCCCCUUAACCUACUCUGAUUUUUAAACAGAGUGAAAUUCAUACUGAUGCCUCUUAUUGACCCACGAAUCAAACUAGACCAUCAGUGACAGGAUUGAUUAUCUCUGUUUUAUUAAAUUCCUAAUAACACCACCGGCAUUGAUCAACAUCAGACAGCAAGACACACAGAAGUGCCUGUGUUUAUGUCCACAGAGAUAACAGUUAAUAGGGUUGAGGUUAGGUAAAGAUCAUUCAUCACAAUUAAGCAUUGAAUAAGUCUACUUUAAUAAGAAGAGAUGUAAUCUUAUUCUGUCUGAUGAAACCCUAACACUAGUCUCUGCGCCUUUAGCAUGCAGCAUUCAUCCUGACCUCCUCAAUACAACAGCAUGAAGAACUUAAAUGUACUUCUUAGUAGCCAGAAGUUAAAAAUUUCACAUUGUGUAAAUAACAUUUUUACAAAUUGAGACCUCACAUUCUUGAAAUAAUGUUGAAUACAAAUGAUUUUACUUUUCUAUUGACACUAAUAGACAUGAAUUUAACAGAUUGUAUUUGCAUUCGUUUUCUGCAAAAAUGCCCGAACUCAGCGAUAUUUGUUCGAUGUAGGUGCAACAUUUUCAAACCUCAGAGCAUGGAGCAGACAUCCAAGACUUACAGUACAGUACCUCUGACUGUGGUUCAGGCAGCUUUUAACUAUUAUUAACAUGCACACUAUGACUUGAGAGUUGGUUAUGUGUAACACCAGACGAGUGUUUGACUAUAAGAUAUAUACUGUAGGAAGUUAGGGGUGGGAGAAAAAAUCGAUACAGCAUAGUAUCGCGAUAUUUUGUCCGGUGAUAUAGCGUAUCGUCUCAUUGACCGGGUAUCAAUUUUUCAAAUGAAUUGCUAGUAUGAAGUCAAAUGUAUGAUAAUGGAAAAAUAAAAUCAACUGUUUGUCCAGUGGAGUUGGCAGAGGUGACAUUAUAGAGCAGGAGAAAGUUAGUACAACAAAUAUACACUAUAUAAGGUUUGCAAUCGGAAUAUAUUGUAUUGCAGUAGUCACUGUAUUGCAAGAUGUUAAAGAUAUUUAAUAUCGUAUUGUGGGGCCACUGGUGAUUCCCACCCCUCUAGGAAGUCUGUUGAUGUGACCACUGACAGAUUUUCAGGUUAGCAUAUGUUGGCAUUUUACGUGUCUGCAGUACAUCAGCAGACAACACCUCAGUAUGAGACCAGCAGGGUGUUGGCAGCAGGAAAUUUUUGUUUUUGUCUUUUUCUGUUAUGUGUUUUGAUGUUUCAUCUGCACAACAUGAAGCAGUGAAUCUCUUCGACUUCAGAGGUCUCUUGAAAUGUGUUUCUGUUUGUCACAUCUUUAUGUGAAUUCACCAGAGCCUGGUGUGCUACGAGAAGAAAAAUAUUCUCAGUGUGAACUAAGGACCAACUAAUUUUCUUUGUUUUCUUUCAGUCUUUCCCAAAAACUUUAGAAAAGCUGCCUUUUUCCAAGUUUUCUGCCGCUGUGAAUGUAGCAUACCUUUAUAGUUUCACUGCCAAUAAAACAGUGUUUCUGAAUAACAAUAUACACAACAACAAACCUGACCUCAUUACAAGAGAAUCACUUUUAAGAUGAUUAAUGCAGGAAUCAAGAUGAAGUAUGUGCAAAUGUUAUUUUGGGGUGAAGUUGAUAUAAAUUGAAUUAGACAUUUGCUGAACAAAGUUCACAGAGUAAAGCUUCUUGGGCAGCUCCUGGAAACAUGAUUUUUUAAUAUGUGUUUGUUAUAAUGAAUAAAUUAUCUCUAUACGACACAACAAACAAUGAUAUGUCAUACACUUAUUUUAAAUUGUUAAAAGUACCUAACCACACAUACAAGUUUCAUAGAGUGACUCAGUUAGCCAUGCUUGUGAGCCAGCAUGCACAAUAUCAAAACCUAAAGGCAGCUCAUCCAUAGACUUAUCAAUGACUAGAACAUCUACCAUCUCAGGUGAAGCCACAAUUUUUAGAGCUCCCCCUAGUGACUGGCUGCAGUACAUGUCAUAAAACCACCUCCUCCAGAUCUAUUCCAACAGAUGGGAUAUGGAUCAAAUUUGAAAACUGAAAUACUAUUUAAACAGGAAUUCAAAGACCUGUUUGGUUACUGUUGUGUCGGACGGCAAUAAGGUUUUAAAUUUGACACGAAAAAGAGUGACUUGAAGCCAGUCAGGAGAUGAAAGCGGAGUGACAUUUGCUGUUUAGGAUCGGUUGAAGACCAGAAGCUGCUGCAUUUUGGAUCUUCUGCAGAGAUUUGAAUGUACAUGUAGGGAGAUCUACUGUAAGGAGUUGUAGUGGUCCAUGAGUCCACGAGAGCCUGUUCCUGUUCUUUCUCAUGUUAUACAAAUUGAUGCCACACAAACUGUGAAGGUUAGAUGGUCAUCAAUCAUCCCACUCAAGUUCCAGAUUGAUUUAACGGGCAUAUAUUUAGAGGGCUCAAGCUGGAUAUAGAUCUGUGGUUUCUUCUGUGGAAGGACUGGCUGGAAUGACAAGAAGCUCCGUCUCAGACAGGUUGAGCUGAAGGUGUCUUUCCUCCAGUCUUUUUGAGAUAUCCAGGACGAGGAGUUGGGCAUCAUCUGCAAAACGUUGGUAUAAGAAAUCAUGAGAACUGAUAUUGAUGAGAACUCAUGACAAAUGAAGAAUGGGGGGUGGAGGGAGAGAGAAAUAUUGCUGUAGAGGUCAAAAGGAUGAUGGAGAAAGACGGUGAUCAAGGGCCAGCUUGAUGCCAGAACAACAUGAGGAAUCAGAAGGGUUGAGACUCUGAAUGGAAAGGCUGCCUUUAUUGAUGUUAGUAUGUAGCUCCCAGUUGUUCUAGGCAAAGAGGGAAGGUGAAAAGGGGAUUGGAUAGGAAAGAAAAAGGUGUGCUUGAAUAGACAUGGCAUGGAAGUGGUAACUUAUUGGAAUGUGGUCUUUGUUUUACACCUGGUUGUAAAACUAAAUAACUGUUUUUUAAAAAAAAUGUCACAUUGCCAUCAUUGUCCAAUGUUCCCUUCUCCCUUGUGACAGCAGCAGGACAAGAAAAAGAAUAUAAUUUGAAAAUAUGGGUAGACAAGAAAACAUAUCUCAGAGAACUUCGAGUAAAAACAGACAAACACAAAAGAGCCGAGUCGAUCGCAGGUAGAAUCACCAAAGAGCAGACAACCACAUCCAUACCCUCAUCUAAGGCAUAGGUAUUCAUAUAUACAGGCCUAAGUCUGCACAGUCUCCCCACAGACAUUGAAUCACACUGCAAAUGCAUACUGCCAAUACAUGUAGAAAAGAUUUACACGUUCUAGAUUUCUUUUAUAAUUGGAUGGUUCCAAUGAUAUGGGAUUAACCGUUUCAUAUAUGAAGCUAUAAAUUCACCACAAAUUUUUGCAUUGAACAGUUCACUCAGCAGUGGGACCAGAUGGCUUUCACACAGGAUACUAGUACAGAACACCUGGGGGUUAGACUGAAUGUUAGAUUCAUCCUUUUUUUCACCUAUUAGCCCCUCAUAAUGAAGACAAAUGAAGAGCAAAGCUUGUUAUUUAAUGAUCCUGUUGGCUCUGUUUCAACCUCUCUAAUCAUAAACCGGACACUAAUAAUGGGGAAAUGUGCUCUGGGUGCAAGCAUGUGAGGACAGUUACUGUAAGGUUAUUUAGCUAUAAUACCUGUCUAUUUCUUCCCACUACCACUGUGUACACUCAAGUCUAAAGGACAACUUUGGUCCAUUAACUUUCUCUCCUAACAAAACUUACUUCAAAUGAGCAGUUCUGUCUCCUCCACCUCAUUCUGCAGACUGAACAUCUGUGCCUGAAUGUGUGCUGAAAGCUCUGGCAACAUAUGGUCUCAUAUUGUUCAUCAGGCAUGAGUGCUUUACUGUAUAUCAGGGGCUGAUGCUGAAUUAGCAACAGAAAGAACAAAGUCAGUGUGGCUGCAAAACUUCUUUUCAAGGCCUUUUUUGAGAGUCUCUCGGUGAUUUAUGGAGUGAUGCUGUUUUCUGCAGACUCCACGAGAAACUUUUUAAGUCAGCUACACAUGGAGCAAAAUGAUGCGUUGGCUUGAAAUAACUUUUUUUUUAUUAGUUUGGUCAUCUAUGUAUUGUUAAAAAAAGCACAAAACAAUAGAGGAUUAAAUUAUUCAUGUGGAUUUUACCCUGAAACCGUGUGAAAUAAAAACCUCUGGAGACUCUGGCGCAUGGUGUGCGGUGUGUGUGUGCUGGAUGUUUUUCAUGAUCCCUUUUAUUUCCAAGUUAAUUAUGCCUACUAUAUUAAGCUAUUAAAGGGAGAUUGGAGCUAUUUUAGGUCUGCUAAGCAGCACCUUUCCAUCUCUAAGCUUACUUUUAUUUGUGUUUCCAUCCACAACUCACGAUCCUGACUUCAUAGCUGUGUCUAAUAAAAGGAAACAGUGCGUUCUCAGUUUAAAGCACCUCAGUGGAGGGAGAGGUUAGAUGCUCGUUUCCCCCCGAGCAACAAAGGAAAUGGGGAAAGUGGGUAGGAGGUGUGAUUGGAAUCUGGGGAUGGAGUCCCUAAUCAAAGCUUCACCCGGAUCUGUAACCAACUUUAUCAGCUGGGCGUGGAGAGCUCCUCCCUGCUCGCCCUGAUGCCACAGAAAUGCUAACCUGCGGUGACCAGAGGGAACAAAGAUUCACACAUUAAUUCGUUUUACUUUUAUGUUCUCUGGCUUAAUGAAAAUCAAAUCAAAACUCAGCCAGGGGCCGCUCUGUCUCUCUUUCUUUCCCUCUCUGCUUCAUCCUCGUGCUCCAUCUCUUCUUCCCCGUGUCCCUCGCUGUGCCGCUUUGAAGUGUAAAUCAGAUUCUACUGAUGUAUGAAAGUAAAGCGCAGACUGCACACCAGAGACCGUUUUACAGCUCUGAGGGCAUGCAGGGUGCACGCAGAUGUAAGUGUAUCUGUACACCAAACAUUUUAUAGGUCAAUAUCGCAUUAUAAAGAAGUUAGAGCAUCUUAGUGUGUCUAUUAUAUACAACAAAGCUUACCGAAAAAACCCUGAUAUUAAAAUUUAUGAUGAUACAUAACAGCAACACUCUCUUUGGACAGACCUAUUAUUUUUCUCGUUGACUUUAAUGAACAAAUCACAAUAACUGUUUGGAAAGUUAUUUUGUUUUGUUAUUUCUUAUUGUCUCUCAGUUUACGUAAAGUGUUAACUUCUUUUUAGAUUUAUGCAAAUAGAUUUCACAGGUGGAUGAAAAGAGGCAGAGUCAAUUUUAGUUGUAAUUUUUAUUAUGAACAAAAGAAAAUCCACUGGUUCUAAUUCUUUUUAAUUGAGCUCAUCAGUUCUCCCAAAUCCCUAUAAUUUCUGCUUCCUCUCAUUUACAGGUUCUCCCAUGUGAUAGAUUUCAUAAGGGAAUCAGAGCGAUAAGGGAUAAUGACUUUCACCUGGGUUUAUCUCAUCAGUGUUCUCCAAGAAAGGAGGAAGUUUUCAGAUUGCCUCAGACAUCUGGGCGAGGAUGAAAUACUUGAUACUGUUAUCACUUCCAUGUACAUCCAACUAUGUAUGUUUCGCUCCUGUUUUGUACACUUUUGACUACAAAACUGUUUGCUUUCAGUCAUGUAUAUCCCUCCUUUUCUUCAUCCAUCAGCUGUAUGUCUUUAAAGAGCAAAGUCCAUCCAAAACUGGGUUACAGUACUGAAUAUAUUAACCAUGUGCUCUGUGAGGAUGAGAUUGAAUCAUUGUGUUUUUGGUAGAGCUGUCAGCAAUGACAUGUUAAUCUGGGUGUAAUUAAGGCUGAAAUUAACACAUUAAUUUUUUGAAAUUGCAUGACAUUUUAUUUCCCUUUUAGCACACUGUGGUUAAACCACAGCUGUAUUUUCCCUGCUCUCUCUGCUGCUGUCAUGAGGGAAAGUAAUGCACUACUGCACUGUUGCAUGGCACAUUUACUGAAAAACAAAACUCCCAUAAGGCUUUGUUGAUAAGUCAGAAGUAAUACCCACUUUGUGCCAAAUGGCAUUAACAUACAAAGUGCAUCAAAUUUGAGGUAUAACCUGCAAGCUUUGCAUGUAAGUACAAACUUAAGUCAGCAGCCAAUCACAUCACAACAUUAUUUUGCAGCAUGCAACUCACCACAGACCUGUGACUUGGGCCUAAGGGACUUUCUCAGGUUGAUAUGUUGAGAGCAGUCAUAUGCCUCUCUGUUGCAGGCCGUAAUGGUUUCAUGCAUAGUAGCUUUGCCUGGUUUCUUUAGCAUAGAGACCAAACACAACUCACUAACUCUCCUCCAGCAGUCACUUGUUUGUGGGGGAGCCCUGACGAGUUGAUCACCAAGUGCAGCGGAGUUUCGCAGCUCAAGAAAGAACAUUUAUGAUUAUUACUUCGUGGAAAUGCAAUCGACCGAGUUGCUAAGACAGAAUAACUACCGCGUCUGCAGCGGAUCAUUUCCAUGAAGUAAUGAUCAUAAAUCUUCUUCCUUGAGCUGUGAAACUCCAUUCUACUCUGUGAACGACUCGUCAGGGCUGCCCCACAAACAAGCUGCUGCUGGAAGAGAGUAGGUGAGUUAUGUUUAGUCUCUUUGCUAAUGAAACCAGGCAAAGUUAAAAAGAUAUUUGGUGGCUAUAUUUACUGUUGAUGAAGUUAGGUGCUGUUCUGAGCAUUAUUUGUGGCUAUAGAGUGGCGACAGUAGCUCAGGAGGUAGAGCGGUCGUCCAAUAACUGGAAGGUUGGCGGUUCGAUUCCCCCCUAUCCCAAGUCUGUCCGUUGUGUCCUUGGGCAAGACACUUAACCCACCUUGCUCCCAGUGUGUGUCCUCCACUGGUGUAUGAUUGUGAGUGUUGUGUGGUGGUGGUCGGAGAGGCCGUAGGCACAAAAUGGCAGCCACGUUUCCGUCAGUCUGCCCCAGGGCAGCUGUGACUACCAAGGUAGUUUACCACCACCAAACUGUGUGAGCGAAUGAAUGAUGUAUCCAAUGUAAAGCGCUUUGAGGGUCUCUGAUAAAGCGCUAUAUGAAAUGUGAUGCAUUAUUAUUAUUAUUAUGUUUUGGUUGCGGUUUGCGCAUGGAGAUGUAGUCCGCUGUGUAUUGCUAUUGUGCGGUCGUUACUAAAGUUGGUAUAACUAGAAAAGCAAGCGGUCGGCAACAUUCAUCUCUCAAGGGGGUGGCUAACUCAGUGUUACAGUGUGUUUGACCCUAACUUAAAUCUACACCUGAAUAUCCCUUUAAUGUGCAAAAGUGUUAUCUCUUUUAAAUAUUCAAUUCAAUUCAAUUCAAGCUUUUUAUUGUCAAUUUGUGCUGUAUGUGAGUACAUGGGACAUACCCAGGAAUCAAAAAAGAUGUGUCUCUCCAGCCUACAGUGCAAAAUUACAGAGAAUUACUUUUGAAAAAUACAAAAAAGUACAAUAAAGAAGAGCAUAACACAGAAGGAGAGUAGUUUUUGUGUCUGCAUGUACCCUCAUGCUUACUUUGUCUAUGUAUACGCACAUACAAACCUAGAGACCUAUCAAAUAUAUUUAAUAUACCUAAAAGAUAUACAUAUAUUUAAUAGAAUAAGCACUUAAAAACUGUCUCUCAUUUCUGAGCCGUGUUUAGAUCACAUUGCAGCAGUGCAACAUUUAUUUGAAUUAUAAAUCUACAAGUCAAUAAUGCUCAGUACAUUUCAUUGCAGUCCCAAAUCAAAUGGGAUUGAUUGUGUUUUAAAAAUUAAUGCACUGUUUUGGAGACUCUUGUUGUUGGACAAAAAAAACUGAUGACUGGUGGUUAAAAUAUGGAAAGUCAUGCAUAUGUAAUGUAAACAGAUGCUUCAAGCAAGGGUACUAUAGUCCUGGUAACUCUGCUAAAGGCAACAUGGAUGUGAAAUGACUGCAUCCAUGUGAGGUCAACAAGACUAACAAUUAAGCAAGCGAGCCAGCAGCUAAUAAAUGCAGGAUAUGCAGAAAAAAACACACUGGAAGAAAAACAAAAACUCAUGUAUUGAUUUCAUCUUCAGCCAAAGUCUGAGGAAAUCUCCCUGAAGCUAGAAUAACAUUAAUGUUUGUAUCGAUUCAAUGGCUGCUGCCAUCCCCUAAAAUAUUAGCAUAUACAUCUUUACUAGUGAAUUGGGAGCUUUCAGAAUAUUCAUGUAAUUAAUAGGUUUGUUAGACUGUACUUUUCAUGCAAAUCAAUGUCCAUCCAUCUUAUUUUAUCACAGUUUGUGUAGCUCACCUCUCCUUUCACUUCCUGCUUUUGUACGUUUCUUGUCUGUGUGACUUUCUGCUGUCCUCUGAUUGGUUUAACGUGUGUCUGAUGAGCCUCAUCCUCCCAGUGAAUUUGACUGUGCCCAUUCUUCUUUGUGCCAUGUGGUCUGUAAUUAAGCUUUUCCUCAUGUCUCUCUAUUUUAGCCUAUAGUUCUCCUGUUUUUUUUUUUUAAUUAUUUCUGACUCUUGAUUUUUUUUGACUGCCCUUCACAUUUGUUUGCCUGAAUUGGACAGAUUUUCCAGUAAACUCUUGCCUGUUUUUGCUCCGUAAGACUUUUAACUUAAUAUAGAUUUUUUUUUCUUUUAAUCUGACAGUGCAGCAGUCUGCUCAUGUUCCCCCCUGUGAUGCCCUCCUUCUUUAGACCAAAUGAGAUUUUCUUCUUUCACAUCCAAGCUUGUGUGGUCUCCUCUGUGUAAGAUGCUUACCAUGACCCCAUUCUAAUGCAUCAACUAUCCCUGUAACAGCUCAGUCAAUUAAAUCCUCCAUGAGGCAGUAAGGUUAGACCUUUAUCAUGAGCAGAGCUGACGGUCACACAAAACCCAAAUACUAGUCUUUACCUGCACUCUUUCUACCUUAACCCUACCUCGAUAAAUAAACCAGAAAAAGGUGCACCAGUUUGAGGCUACACAUGCUGUUAAAUUAGCAAUAAACAGCACUCUAAUCUAUAAGAUAUUGAUCAGGCAAGACUGGUGUGAGCCCCUUGAAUCACUGAUAAUUGAUGUCCCUCCGUUACCGGCAUGUACAGUUUAUUUUGUCUGCUUUUCCCUACAGUUUACCUCUAGCACUGUGUUGUUGUUCAAAAAAGAGUAAAAGUAAAGUUACCCCAUUUUCCUGCCUUCAUUAUAGUAGUGGUAAAAAUAACUCCAAACAUUCUGUAGAUUCUCAAAGGAUACUAUGCCUAAUUAUAGAAAAAGAUGAUUAAAUUGGACCAAAUUUAAAAACAGCUGACUGGAUAAUCAGACGAAUGAGUACACACUUUACCUCUUGAGCCGUUUGUGUCACUCUUUAUUCAUUCAGCAGCUGCUUCAGAGUCGUCAGGAGACCUUUGGCAGAGGUAUCAAAAACCCAUAAAGAUACAUGAAUCUCACAGAGAUGGAUUUUACAGUAUGUUGUUAAAGUAGAUAGACAGUUAUUUCAGUAGAUUACAUUAAAUCAGGCUCUGUCUCCUCUGGUAGAUUUUGUUUCUGAGCGACUGCAGCUGUUUAACAUGCACCACAAUUAGUCAACUGCACACAUAUACAGUAUGAGGGACUUUGAUUUAUUUUUAAGGGCUGUGCAGUCAGCAGUUUGUUCUCUGUACGCCACGCCUGCAUCUGGUAAUUUACGGAGUCAUCAGUCUUUUUAUAUCAGCAAAUGUAUAUUUGCUUUUUCUUUGAUUCAGCACUUGUAUGGAGUUAGAUUUCUCAGAUUUGUACCAGCUGAUUAUGAAUUGCUCUACAGGAGACAGUUCAUAUGUGUACGUAAGGGUGAAUUAAGUCAUGAAGACACCAAAAGGUCCGUUUUCUGAUACGAACCAAAGCGAGGAUGAUGCAUUGUUGCACUUUCUCAACUGGUCCGGUUUCCGUUUGCAAAGGUCAAACUGUCACGUGUCAGCAAAAGCCGUUCACAGAAGACAACAGGCAAAAAUUCGUAACUCCACAUUUGUCCCCCAUAGAUAUGUAUAAAUAUAUAUAAACGCUAGAUGGAUUACACACGCUGUUAGCCAAUGGAGACCGACGUCCGUACAUGGCGAUCAUCUUGCUACAGGCCGCUUGCCCACUCAUAACAUUUCAGUCUAUGGUGCUUUUAGCAUUUAAAUAACCAAAGAUUGCUUAAUUUUAAACCGAUUUUCAAAGAUGUAUUCAACAAACCAAACAGCUUGGAAAUCAUGUGCAACUUAAGUUGUGUUGAAAUGAAAGAGCAUUUCGGCCUCUCCAACUGAUGCAAAAUUGUCGGGUCAACUUUGUAAUACGUACUUGGUCUCACUUACAGUGAGUCUGUUAGCCAAGUUAGACAGCUGAUAAACACAAGCACAUUUACAAAGACCAUCACUUAGACAAAAAAAAUAUGCUUUCAUACAAAAAAUUAAAAUCUCGAUUGUGGUCUCAGCCUUGAUAACUCAUGCAAAGCGACUCAAAGCCAUUGCGCACGAAAAUAGCUGUGAAACAACUGUGCUGCACCUAAAAAAAAGACAUUUCAAUAUGUCCAAUCAUCCCGGCUCUUAGCCACAUUAUCAAGGUCUGUAACAAACAAAACCUUUUGUAAAUCUGUCAAGAUUUCGGCGAGGUAAGAGUAUUUUUGAUCAUGCAAAUUGCUCACCUUCCAUCAGCUACCAUACAAUCUACCAGAAUGGCAUACUGAAGUAAGAUGGCCGCCGUGUACGGACGCCGGUGACUCAGCCUAUAUUUAUCUAGCCUGUCUUAUAUAUGACUAUGUUGUCCCCUGCCAGACAUUAGCCGUAGUUUGCUAACUAUGCCUCUGAACAAAACAGGAUAUGACGUGUGAAAUGGCGCACGUCUUGGGAUUGGUGCUCACCACACCAGUGUUGUUUUCGUCAGGCAGGACGAAAACUUAAAUGACGACGUCAGACCCCUUUUUUCCUUGACGAAAAUGAGACUAAGACGAACGUCACCAAAGCUCUGUAAAUACUAAAAGGUGACGAAAAUUGUAUUCAUUUUCGUCAGACGAGAACGAGACGAGACUAAAUUGUUAUUAGGUGGACGAACAAAGUUUCAAAACAUGCUUUUUUUUGUCCUAACAGUCACGCCCCCAUCACACACGCACCAAAAGCCUCGCUCGCGCACAGCUGCGCGCACACACUCAUACACAUACACAGAGCGGCAGGUGGACGAGGCGCGCACACACACACACCGUGGCGGCAGGCACAGCAGCGGUACCCGGUGGCCGAAAAAAGAGGGAUGAUUUAUGGUCCUACUUCAGAUACAGUCCAAGUGACAAUAAAACGCAAUGUCUUGUACGGGGACGGGGAGACGAGACAGACGACAGUUGUGGAGCCACAGCUUCCUCAUGCUGCGGCUUCAAACUGUCGGGAAAGAACACCACGAACCUCAAAAGACACCUUUUCGACGACUAAAAUUAGACUAAAACCUUUUGAGUUUUCGUCGGACUAAAACUAGACGAAAAACUAUCAAGGAUAGAAAUGACUAAAAUGGGACUAAAACGAAGAAGCAUUUCGUCAAAAUGACUAAGACUAAAACUAAAUCUUAAAUGCCUGCCAAAAACAACACUGCACCACACCAGGAGUAAACUGCUCUAGAGUUCACUUGAUAGCAGUUGAUUGGUCGGCACCAGAGUUCAAGGCCAGAAUUCACACCAACCAAAAUGAACCGCACCAAGGCGGUAAACACUCCAGGGUUCAGUUCAACUGGACUAAACAAGGCUGGUGUGAGCGCGACCUUAUUCUACGCCUUGCUUAAAGAAGGUACCACUCCCUCCUGGGGGACUUUGACCGUGACCCUGUUUGUUCAGAAAGAAAAUACUGUCAUGAAGUGUAAAGAGACAGAACUUACUAUGAGCAAGACACACACACACAUACGCUCACACACUCACUCACUCACACAUUCCCAAACAUGAUGCGUCAGAACUGCCCAAAGAUUUUCUGCAUUCAUUACUAAGCCAGUCACCCACAGCAAAGAGAUAUCACCUUUAAUAUCAGUCAAACUUGUUAAAGUGGAUUUUCUGCAUGUUACGCCUCAUUUGAUGAGUUUUACAGACAAAUUGAGGUUUAGUGUGCAAUAUUCAGGCUUGUUAAGGAAAAGCGAAUCACUCCUGGCUUAGAGGCUUAUAAACAAAGGGAUUUAAGACAGAUUAAUUUUUUUUUUUUCUAUCAGGAUUGAAUUUAAAACACUCGAGGGUGAGAAGAAAGGAGGGGACACUCAUAAUUUAAGAGGAAUAGAGUGUUUGGGGAUAAAGAGAUUUGCUUUGUUCAUUGGCUGUGGUUUAACUAAAAGAAGCCAUUCUGUAUGUCAAACUAUUAAAAGCUGAUACACAAAAUAUAUUCUGGUAGGGGCAAAAAAUGGUCUUAAUUGGCUUAAAAUUCAUCCAAGCCUAUAAUGCCACACAAUUUCUUUUGUCAGAACCAUGAAAGGAUUUAGUCAUCUUCACCCACUGAAAAAAUAACAACUGAAUAAGCUUCGGGAUUCUCAUUUUGUGUGACAGAUCUAUAUGCACAAUGUCAAAUACUGAAUAUUUCUCUUCCCCGCCAAACUGCUGAGUUUGGAAAUUUCACUUCAUUCCUGCAUGAGAGAUGAAAAGCAUCCGCAGCUAAAGUGGAGAAAGUAGGGCAAAGAAAAGCGAUUUAUGUGAGGCAUUAGAUACUCCAUUAUAAUGGUCAGCGAUGAUGAGUUCAUAUCUGCGCCUCACUCACGCGGUAAAAGGCCACCAGAUAUUAAAAAAUCAAAUGUGCACAUCUUGCAGUUUAUCUAAAAUACACACGGCUUUCAGCUAUGUGCAGAUCUAAGUGCAUAAGAUAUGAAAUAUGAGGGUUUAACUAUAUUUAACAUCUAUUAUUCCAGCAGAUGAAACUUGGUGAGUUUAAAGCUACAGCGCACUCGCAUGUCCAGUUAAGUAGGUCACUUCUUGCAGUGCUUAACAUGCUAGCCCACAUAUAUUGCCAGAGGGGGUUCAGUUCUAAUGAUUAUUAGUUUUAGGAAUACAGUAGAUGUGUAAAAGGAGUUCCUCUAACUAGCACAUUCACCAUGUAAUAUUCCCCCAGUGUGGGAAAACUGGAUGAUAUUAGAUCAUAUCAGUUAGGCUACCAUUAGGGGCUCUGCCAGCUCUCUAUUGGAUUAGGGGUUUACACUGCAGCAGCAGCAGCUCUUGAGUCGUGUUAACCUACAUUUGCAAAAUACAUCAGUUACUACUCAACCUUACAACGUUUUCACAAGUACAUCAAAAUACUGAGCUCUAAACUGUGACGCAGAUCUUUGGUUUUUUUUUCAUCUCAUCUAGAUGAAACACGAGCAAAGACUCAGAUAUUUUUAGAUCCCUCUGGUAGCCUACGAAUAAGCUUUAGCGAGUAUGUAUGCCAGCAAGUGGUAGCAUUAUUUUACCUAUAGAUGGUGUUUUCAACUGACUCACAUCAAGAAUGAGUUUAAUUAGCAAGCAGAUAAAUUCGAUGUGAGCAUAUGGAGUUGAAGAGCAGAGGUUAGUUGGUGCGGACUUACCGAGUGUUAAUUUCCUCACUGAUGAUGACAACAUGAUGUGAACUAUUUCUGUUCCAGCUGCAGAAAACUCUUCAUUUACAGUGCUUGGCAUAAAUAAAUACAUCCAUUCAGAGUUGUCAGAAAACCUUUAGUUUCCUUUCAAAAUCAACAUUUUCUAUGUCAGACUUUACAAUAAAACACUCCUCCAAAUGUAGGCCAUUGAUUGCAAACAAGAUUUUUUUAAGUUGCAUAAAAAAAAGUAUUUUUUUUUUUUUUUUCAAUUUAAAAAUCAGGAUGCAAAAAAUGAGUACAUGCCAAUCAAAGUUCUGGGAGCAAAGCUAAAUUUUAGUCACCAUAUCACCCUUAUUUUCAUCUUAUGGUAAAAUGUUUUGUUAAAUUAGCUUUGUCAAAAUUUUGGAAAUCGUACUUUUGCUCAUCUAGAUAUUGAGUAAUACAUCACGUUUAUUAGCGGGUGUACUGACUUAAGCUGGGCACUGUAACUGUAUAUGUUUGCUCCAGUCAGAAUCUGAAAUCUCUCACCUUGUAUCUGCACUUGUAUUCUUAGUAUAGGUGAUAGCUCAAAUUUGGUGGAUGUUAGUGAUAUGUUAAAUCAGUUUGACAUAAAGUGAACUUUUUUUUUUUCUUUUUAAAUUGACAACAGAGCUAUCUAGGAGAGAAAUGCUCCAAAUAAAAGUGCAGUGGUGUUAUUAUUUUUCUUCAUAGUAGCAGCAGGGAGCGUCAUGGCUGAACCACAGAGAGCAGAAAGGAACAAAAUCCCAUCAGAUUAAAAAAGAUUUUUGGGAUCAAACUUGCAAUAAACACACUGAUGAAUGUGACAGCCCCACAUUCAGAAUUCCCCAUUUUUUUAAAUCUUUUUAAGUCCCACUCCGAUUAUUUUUUUUACUGUUGUAAGUGUUGUCAGUGGUCUUUAAGUUGUGAUCAUGAUCAUGACAUUUUUAGCCAAAAUCACAUUACCUGUAUCAUUUUCAUGGGUUUUAGCUUAUUAGCAAUUCACCUCUGAGUUGUGGGUGGAGACAGCGCUGCUCUGCACACUCCUCUUCACGUUAGCUUGUAGCCUAACAUUGUCAGUGUAGUAGAAGAAACAGGUAACAUAGGAGCUAUUCAGCUCUUGGACACUAAUGUCUUUAGAGGCAUGACGAAAGUUAAUAUCAUAAUUCGCUUUCUUACGAGCAUUUUAAUCCGCUAACACACACACUUGUUAUUCAAUCGCCCUCUCUCACUGAAAAUCUCACUGAAUCUGAGCCUGCCGUUUGGGUCUGCCAGAGGUUCACAGUGAUUUGGAUGCAUAAAUACUCAGAAAUGCAAAUUUGCACUUCUGUUUCUCAUGUCUUCUAGUAUCAGAAAAAUGCCACAUGUAGACAACAAGAAAAACAUGAUUUUCAUUGAAAUGGGUCUUAAAGUUUUUGGCUCAUGGCUCCUACCUUCUCUGUAUACAGCCCAGGCUACAAUAUAUUGGUAAUAACAACAAUAUUUUUUCUGCGAGUUUUGAAACGGAGUCAAACAUAAAAAAGAAGAAUCCAUAGUCCAUAAUCUGCCUUCAACAUCCUUGAAAAAUAUCUGACUGUCUCCUGAAAUAAGUGCAUUUUAAAAGCCGAGCAAUAUGUCACAUUUGUUGUUGCUGCUGCUUUCAAAUGAGAAUAAAGAGACGUUUGCAGCAGUCCUCUGUAACCUCUGUCACAAAGUGUGUUUUGAUGAUUUUAUAAUAAGGUUGAGUCAUCAGGGCAUCUUUUAAAAAACAAUGUUUGUGUUUUUCUUUGACUAAAGGAUAUUAAUAGAGUUUAAGUGCAGAGGCAGUGCAUUUGGGGGCCAAUCCUUGUCAACAUCAGCUGUUUGUAACAUCUGGGGAGAGAUUUGUGAUUAAAAUGCACUUUUGAUUUUCUUCAUCUGCAGUUUUGUUGUCAGCAUGUAUUAAAAUCAGCAGUCAAAGAUAAAAAAAAAGAGAGCACUAUUUCAUUUUUUUCUGUUUUUUCUCCAACAUUAGGCACAGCAGAUGACAACCUUACUUGUCUCCUCGCUGCAUGCACGGAGGAUGCCCCCUGCUCCCCUUUUCAGAGCACCAAACUGAACUUUUGAACUCUAUUUCCUCCUAAAGCCCAGGUGAGCCAAACAAUGUUUCCCUUUCAAUAUUCUCUCAAACCCGCUGCUUCUCCAACCUUUCACCGUCACUUUUCUUUUCAUCAGUUUCUCCUUCUGCUUUUGAAAACCGCCUUCAUUUUGCUGAACAGCUUCGCCUCUAAUUGGUUACUCCCCUGCAUUUAGCUUUUCAUUUUUUAGCUAUUUUUCUGAACUCAGUCAUGUUGUGGAGCCUAACAAAUAAGUAGAGACGCACAUCUUGUGCUCUAACCCAAUAAAAGCUAUCCUGCGACCUGUGGCUUCUUAUUUUUUGUGGUUUUAUUGAAAGAGGAUGAGUAAUGCACUUCACUGGAUGCUUUUAGAGGACUGCAUAUCAUCAAAACUCGGAGAACUGACCCCAGAAUACACAGCGAGCGGAGAUUAAAGAAAUUAAUCUUGGAGGGAAAAGAUGUUGUGCUACAAAUGAGAUUUCACCAGGUGUACACAUUCGACUUUGACCGGAGCAAAGUAGGAUUUUCUUUUUCUCUGUGAGAGCACAGUCAGUGAUGCUGGCUCGAAAAGAUGAAGUGGACACCUGUCAUGAGAAAGAUUUGCAGGCAGACGCAAUCUUGUACAGAAGUCCUGCAACAGUUACGACUGGGUUGAUCCUGAAGCAGAACUCAAAUAUAUCAUGAUCUCUCUUCAGGUUCGUAACCACUUACUAUAGAAAUAUGCAGGGUUAUCCUUUUGCUUCAAGAGUCGUCUGUUAUGUGAUUUAGGUCACAUGAAAUUGUACUAAAGCUGCUCUUUUGGUAAAUGUCCCUCUCUGAUGUUUAAGUAGAUGAAUUCCUGUUUGAACUCUAAGUUAUGGGAAAAAUUUCUCACUGAAAUUAUUUGACGAGCCUGUCUGAGGUUGAAGUAUGUGCUAGAUAUCUACAUUGACAUGUGCAUUACCCUUGAUUUAAACAGAAAGAUCACAUUUAUUGGCAAAAUAUCCCCUGAAAUGGACGCCUAGUCAGUGUGAGCGAAUAAAGGUUUGAGUAAAAAUGUUGCAUCAAAGUUUUAGACUCUUAAUAUAUUUUGUUCCCUCGAGUUCAGCUGAGCUCUUGAGAUCGAUCAAAUACAAACAACCUUAAUUUAGCAGAAGCAGCUCCUCUCUCACCCACUGCCAAAAGAAACACAGCAAUUACUCUCCAAGAUUUCAAACAGUGGUAUGUCUUGAAGGGCUGUUGAAAAGGAUUGCAUUAUAUAACACAGGUGUCUAUGCUAUUGUCUCCACCUCUCACUGAUUAACAAGAUGUGUAAGGCUCGUCUCUGUCAUGUGCUUUGUUUGCCUCGCGUUUCACUUGUUUCAUCAUGUAUUACAGCGUUUCAUUUUAUCACGUGAAUGAUUGUGAUAGGAGGAAGGAACAUAACGCUCUCUCUGUGAAGUCCUCUCAGACGUACUUGUGAUGAAAGCCGCUAUAAAUAAAUGCCCUUCAAUAUCGUGUAAUUCUGAUCUCUCAACCUCUUUCAUCCGCAGUAGGGGAUGUAAUUUUUCCGCCUGUUACCUCAAUAUAUGGGUUUAUUUAAAAGUACAAACACUCUUAUUCGUUCUCAUCUGUGGGUUUGUGAUGAAAUGGAAAUAUCACGUCAAUCCACUCAAUGUUUUUCUGCAACAUGACGCAGGUGCUCAAAAGUCAGAUGAGGACUAGAAGAUCAACAGUGACAGAAAACAGGUCAAACUUUGUAUUAGGGCUGGGCGAUAUGGCCUCAAAUUAAUAUCACGAUAUAUUGAGCAGUUCACCUCGAUAACGAUAAAUGGACGAUAACUACUCCACAAGCUGCUCACCCCCUCCCACAUUAACUUCGUUUACUUUACCCGCCGCUACAACUUCAACUGUCCUCCAUCUCCUCACCUGUCUUUCCCUUCCCACGUGUCUCCACCCUGGAUGGGGUGGAGACACGUCUCCGACAUACGACUUAAAAGGGACAUGAGACCAUAGCCUACCUACACACAUCCAAAACCAACUUUUUUUUUGACACUGAAUAUAUUGACAUGGGCGAAAUGACGUUGGUGAAUGUUGUAAAUUUCGGUAUCGGUAAAUUUUCGGUUUAUCGCCCAGCCCUUAUUUGCAUGUCCAGUGAAAGAAAAGUUAUACAUGUACAGUAUCUUAUCAUCAUUGACUAAAAAUGCUUCUGCUUCUUUUAGCUAAUGAGCAUGUGAAAGGAGAAGUGAGGAGUGCUGUGACCUUUGAGUUAAGACUGUUAUUUGCUAACGUUAGAUUAAUACUUUUUUUACUGAACUGAAGCAACUUAAUGAAUGUUUUCAUUUCACUCACAGGUUAUUUUCAGAAAACUGUGACAUCUAACUCAAUAAGCAGGAACCUGAUGAACCACAAGGCUCUCUUUGAUCUGCCACUACAGACAAUAACUGCAACUUAAGCCAUAAUUGGAUACUGUGGUAAUGUUUGACACUUGUAAGAUGCUUUGUUAGUGGGCAGGGGUCUAGGCUGCAUAAAAAAUGUGUAAAAGCAUGAACUCCUCAGUAGGGGUGAGAAUCACCAGCAAGCCAACACUAUGAUAUCAUCACGAUUCUAAGGCCACGAUACGAUAUUAUUGCGAUUUUUAACAUUUUGCAAUACAGUGAGUAUUUCGAUACAAUAUAUUGUGAUCUAUACAUUUUUUUUCAACUGUUUAGCUAAUUUAGCAUUUGGCUUUCCUUUAUGUUUGUCUUAUUUACACUGUAUUUUUUCUUUUUUAUGAAGCACAUCUUUCAAACCUUGUGUGUCAGGUCCAUCUCAUUUGUGCCCUGUUUACAUCCGUAAAGCUCUAUUAGGUGCUGCUUUGUUUGUUGCACCAACUCUCUCCAGCUCUAUGAUGUCACCUCUGCCAACCUCACUGCACAAACAGUUGAUUUUGUUUUUCCAUUAUCAUAGAUUUGACUUCAUAUUAACAAUUAAUUUGAAAAAAUCAAUACUUGGUCAAUGAGACGAUACGAUAUAUCGCCAGAAAAAAUAUCGUGAUACUAUGCUUUAUCAAUGUUUUUCUCCCACCCCUACUCCUCUGUCAGAGAAAGCUGCCUUUGUUGUAAGCUGCUGACUCCUUCGAAGUAAAAGAAGUUAAAAAAAAGACUACACUCUGUUGUUCUUUUCAGCUGACUACAAGACGGAUACAGUAGAAUUUUUCUGACAUCCAAUAUUGUGCCAUUGUCGUAGCACAAUAUAAAUCUGCUGGUGGGAAAAAAAUGCUUAAACUGAGGAAAAUUUAUGCAAAUGUAUCUAAAAAAAAAGCUAACUGGCAGUAACACCUUUUCUUUGUACAUUUGUCUAAAG